GGAGAGAAGUGGCGGUCCGCAAUGCAGGUUGAAAACCGCAUUGCGUGUGAAACCGCAUUCAUGGUGUGAUGAAAGAGCACUGAGAGUUUGUUGUGCAGCUUGGUUGUAUGCCACAGUCACACGAGUAUUUGAGUAAUUCACAAGGCCACGUUAAUUGUAGUCGGGCAUGGUUGUUGGAGUGGGACUCCGGUGGAUGCAUUUCGGUUUUGGUUCUAGUUUUUUACGCAGCUUGGUUAGAAUACUAAUUUCCCAAAGUAGAUAGCUAAUGAGAUUUCAUCCUAUUUGUUACCGUGUUUUUUUUUCUGGAUUAUUUUGCUAGCGAAUGUAGACUGUUGCACCCUUGCGAAUUCUUGUAGCGAUUAUAUUAUUCACUCUUUCACUGAAUUAGCUGUUUUUUCAUUGUUUCUUGUAUAUCUGCCAUUUUAAGGAUUUAUUAGUUUCAAGUUCAUAUCAUUUGCACAAGCAAAUAAAUGAACAACCUAAAUGGACAAUCUAAAUACACCACUGAUGCAAUAUCCCCAAUUGUUGAUAUAAACACAUGUUGCUAGUGAGUCAGCAAACAAAAUGAUCUUUUUGACCAUCAACACAACCUCAUUCUUAAGAUAUGCUUAUCAAAAUAAACUACUACACAAAGUUACAAAGUUACAUUAUAAAGCCUCCCACAACAAAAUCUACAAGCAAGGUCAAAGAGAAAAACUAAAAAUCCAUGUUCUAUUCUUUUCGACAACAACAUGAGAAAAGCAAAAAAUUUAUUCCAAGUAGUAGUGUUUUUGUCCCCCUAGAGGUUACAUUGGGUCUAUUUGUUUCUUGUGUUGGCUAUAGUGGAGAGGCAAUUGAAUUGGUGGUUUGUUGUAUCACUUUGUAAUAACUUGCAAUACUUUGAGUGGUCAUAAGAUCCAUAUGGUAAUAGAAGCCAUCUCAAUUGUAGGGGCUUCCUCACGCACCCAUAAAGAUAAUUACAAAAGAAAUAAUUAUAAAUAUUCUACCUAGAAUUCUUUAUUGAAGAAAAGAAGUCUAAAAGCUACAAACACUUAGCAUCAGCAAGGAUUGUAUUCUAAGAGAAGUGUGGAGAAAGUUAUCUCUUACUUCCAACACCUUUUACUUAUAGAUGGAGUUUACAUCCCAAGUACAUAGACUUCAUCUAGAGUCACCUUCAUCCUUUUAACUAGAUCUAGAUUCAUCUUAACCUAAUUGCCACCUUAAAACCCUAACUGUCACCAUAGUAACUUCUUUUAAUCCUUGGGUGCCUUUUGACUAUUAGCAACUUAUUAUGCUUAAUCUUUAUGUGGUGGUAACUAAGUAAGAACUUGUUGAUCUUCAACACUCCCACUUUACUAAUUUUCAAAAGGUUUUUAAUCCUAAUCUCUGAAUCAAGUGAUGAUGUCUAUUUUUCACUAAUGCCUUUGUAAGCACAUCAACAAGCAUGUCAUUUGUAGCAAAAUACUUCAUACCUAUUAUUCCAUCUUGAAUCAUCUCUCAUAUGAAAUGAUGUUGAAUAUCAAUGUGUUUGGUCCUUGAGUGGUGUUUUGGAUUCUUGGCAAAUGCAAGAUAUCUUUGAUUGUCACACAUAAUUAGAAUUGCUUCUAAUUGCACUAGACCAAUGUCUUCUAAGAAUUGCCUUAUCCAACACGCUUCCAUUGCACAAUGACUUGCUGCCAUGUACUCUGCUUCCAUCGUUGAUCUUGCAAUGGUAGAUUGUCUCUUGUAAUUCCAUGAAAUGACUCCCACUCCAAUGAAGAAGACAUAUCCCAUUGUGGAUCUUCUAUCAUUUGCAUCUCCAGUCCAAUCCGCAUCACAAUAACCUUGCAAAUCAAUGUUCUUACCACCAAGGCAAAAUUUGAAGUCUUUUGUACUUUUAAGUACCUCAAUAUCCUUUUUACUAUUGUCCAAUGCAUUGGACUAGCUUUAGACAUGUGUUGGCUUACAACACUUAUCGCAUAUGCAAGAUCCACUCUUGUGGCCACCAUUGCAUACAUGAGUGAGCCUACUGCUACUUUGUAUGGAACACUUUGUAUCUCACCUUCAACUUCUACAAAUUCCUCAUCCGUGAGCUUCAUCAACUUCAAAUUUGCCUCCAAGGGUGUUCCAAUGGGCUUGCACUCCUCCAUGUUGAAUCGUUUCAACACUUCUUCAAUGUACUUGAUUUGGCUCAUUGUAAUGGUCUUGUUACCACGAUCUCUUACAAAUUCCACUCCCAAGCAGUAGUGCAAUUCUUCCAAAUCACUCAUCUCAUAUUCCUUCUCUAAUUUGGCCUUCAUCCAAUCCAUCUUUUCCAUAUUGUUAGCCAAGAUGAUCAAAUCAUCAACAUAAAGGAUUAAAGUCAGCAAAAACUCUCUAGUUUGCAUCACAUACAAUGAAUGAUCAGCCUCAUUCCUCACAAACCCUUCAUUGAUAAAAAAAAAAAAAAAAAAGGUGUCAAUUUGUUGGUACCAUACCCUUGGUGAUUGUUUCAAUCCAUAUAAGGAUUUCUUCAAUUUGCACACAAGAUGUUCUUUGCUUUUUUGUAUAAAUUCUUGAGGUUGGUCCAUGUAGAUGUCUUCUUAUAAUUCUCCAUUCAAAAAGGCCGUCUUUACAUCCAUUUGGUGUAUUUCCAAAUCCAUUGCUGCACCAAUUGCUACAAUGGUCCUAAUGGUGGUGAAUUUGGCAACGGGUGCAUAAGUCUCAUUAAAAUCAAUUCCAACAACUUGUGAAUAUCCUUUAGCAAUUAGUCUUGCCUUGUGCCUCACCAUCACAUCCAUUGCAUCUCUUUUAGUCCUAAACAUCCACUUACAACCAACACUAGAUCGAUUUGUUGGAAGAGGUACCAAUUUCCAUGUACCAUUGUCCAUAAGAAAUUGGUAUUCUUCUUCCAUAGCCUUCUCCCACUUGAUUGCAUCUUCACACUUCAUAGCAUCAUACAAAGACAAUGGAUCAACAAGAAGAACAACAUUUGCAUGUUCUUCACUUACUUGAGGGAAGAUGUGAUCCUUCUACCAUUCGCCACGUCGCCUUCUUUCUCUCAAAAGAUAUCUCCUUUCACUUAUAGAAGAAUAUUCACCUUGUUGCACUCUAUGUUCUUUUUCAACCUUCUUCUCUCUUAAACCUUGUCGUUUCUCACUCAAUGGUUGAUACUCUUUAUCAUUAUCAUCAUUCCAAUCUCCAACAUCUUCAUUUCUUUCAUUGUUGGUCUUAGCAAUUGUAGGAGCCUUCAUCUUUUCAACCUUCUUUGGCUUUUCAUCUUCAUCAUCUUCAUUAUCUUCAUCUUCUUGUUUUUUUGCUGAAUUCAAAGAUGUAUCCACAAACACACCAUUACUCCCACUUGGACACAUCUCCAAGUGCUCACAAGCACUCUUAUGCUCCAAAAACUUAGCAUCACAACUAUUGGUGAUCUUCUUGGUUUCCAAGCACAUUAGCCUAUAUGCCUUAGUACCUUCACAACAAUCAAGAAAUAUACACUUUGUACCUUUUGCAUCAAGUUUGGACCUCAUACAAUCUAGUAUUUUUUUAUAUGCAAUGCACCCAAAGGUCCUGAUAUGGAAAAUGCAAAGUUGUCUCUCACUCCAAGCUUCUUGUGGUGUCAUUGAUGCAAGAGCAAUUGUUGGACACGUAUUUCAUGUGUACAUUGGAUUCACGACAACUUUCAUCCAAGAGUCAUAGCCAAGUUUUGGACGAAAGCUUAAUCCAAGAGUCAAAACCUUAGCUAUAAGUUUUGGACGAAAGCUAUGGUGAAUGCAAUGUACACAAGAAAUAGAUAUCCAACAAUUGCCCUUGCAUCAAUGACACCACAAGAAGCUUGGAGUGAGAGACAACUUUGCAUUUCUCAUAUCAGGACCUUUGGGUGCAUUGCAUAUAAAAAAAUACUAGAUUGUAUGAGGUCCAAACUUGAUGCAAAAGGUACAAAGUGUAUAUUUCUUGAUUGUUGUGAAGGUACUAAGGCAUAUAGGCUAAUGUGCUUGGAAACCAAGAAGAUCACCAAUAGUUGUGAUGCUAAGUUUUUGGAGCAUAAGAGUGCUUGUGAGCACUUGGAGAUGUGUCCAAGUGGGAGUAAUGGUGUGUUUGUGGAUACAUCUUUGAAUUCAGCAAAAAAACAAGAAGAUGAAGAUAAUGAAGAUGAUGAAGAUGAAAAGCCAAAGAAGGUUGAAAAGAUGAAGGCUCCUACAAUUGCUAAGACCAACAAUGAAAGAAAUGAAGAUGUUGGAGAUUGGAAUGAUGAUAAUGAUAAAGAGUAUCAACCAUUGAGUGAGAAACGACAAGGUUUAAGAGAGAAGAAGGUUGAAAAAGAACAUAGAGUGCAACAAGGUGAAUAUUCUUCUAUAAGUGAAAGGAGAUAUCUUUUGAGAGAAAGAAGGCGACGUGGCGAAUGGUAGAAGGAUCACAUCUUCCCUCAAGUAAGUGAAGAACAUGCAAAUGUUGUUCUUCUUGUUGAUCCAUUGUCUUUGUGUGAUGCUAUGAAGUGUGAAGAUGCAAUCAAGUGGGAGAAGGCUAUGGAAGAAGAAUACCAAUUUCUUAUGGACAAUGGUACAUGGAAAUUGGUACCUCUUCCAACAAAUCGAUCUAGUGUUGGUUGUAAGUGGAUGUUUAGGACUAAAAGAGAUGCAAUGGAUGUGAUGGUGAGGCACAAGGCAAGACUAAUUGCUAAAGGAUAUUCACAAGUUGUUGGAAUUGAUUUUAAUGAGACUUAUGCACCCGUUGCCAAAUUCACCACCAUUAGGACCAUUGUAGCAAUUGGUGCAGCAAUGGAUUUGGAAAUACACCAAAUGGAUGUAAAGACGGCCUUUUUGAAUGGAGAAUUAUAAGAAGACAUCUACAUGGACCAACCUCAAGAAUUUAUACAAAAAAGCAAAGAACAUCUUGUGUGCAAAUUGAAGAAAUCCUUAUAUGGAUUGAAACAAUCACCAAGGGUAUGGUACCAACAAAUUGACACCUUUUUUUUUUUUUUUUUUAUCAAUGAAGGGUUUGUGAGGAAUGAGGCUGAUCAUUCAUUGUAUGUGAUGCAAACUAGAGAGUUUUUGCUGACUUUAAUCCUUUAUGUUGAUGAUUUGAUCAUCUUGGCUAACAAUAUGGAAAAGAUGGAUUGGAUGAAGGCCAAAUUAGAGAAGGAAUAUGAGAUGAGUGAUUUGGAAGAAUUGCACUACUGCUUGGGAGUGGAAUUUGUAAGAGAUCGUGGUAACAAGACCAUUACAAUGAGCCAAAUCAAGUACAUUGAAGAAGUGUUGAAACGAUUCAACAUGGAGGAGUGCAAGCCCAUUGGAACACCCUUGGAGGCAAAUUUGAAGUUGAUGAAGCUCACGGAUGAGGAAUUUGUAGAAGUUGAAGGUGAGAUACAAAGUGUUCCAUACAAAGUAGCAGUAGGCUCACUCAUGUAUGCAAUGGUGGCCACAAGAGUGGAUCUUGCAUAUGCGAUAAGUGUUGUAAGCCAACACAUGUCUAAAGCUAGUCCAAUGCAUUGGACAAUAGUAAAAAGGAUAUUGAGGUACUUAAAAGUACAAAAGACUUCAAAUUUUGCCUUGGUGGUAAGAACAUUGAUUUGCAAGGUUAUUGUGAUGCGGAUUGGACUGGAGAUGCAAAUGAUAGAAGAUCCACAAUGGGAUAUGUCUUCUUCAUUGGAGUGGGAGUCAUUUCAUGGAAUUACAAGAGACAAUCUACCAUUGCAAGAUCAACGAUGGAAGCAGAGUACAUGGCAGCAAGUCAUUGUGCAAUGGAAGCGUGUUGGAUAAGGCAAUUCUUAGAAGACAUUGGUCUAGUGCAAUUAGAAGCAAUUCUAAUUAUGUGUGACAAUCAAAGAUAUCUUGCAUUUGCCAAGAAUCCAAAACACCACUCAAGGACCAAACACAUUGAUAUUCAACAUCAUUUCAUAUGAGAGAUGAUUCAAGAUGGAAUAAUAGGUAUGAAGUAUUUUGCUACAAAUGACAUGCUUGUUGAUGUGCUUACAAAGGCAUUAGUGAAAAAUAGACAUCAUCACUUGAUUCAGAGAUUAGGAUUAAAAACCUUUUGAAAAUUAGUAAAGUGGGAGUGUUGAAGAUCAACAAGUUCUUACUUAGUUACCACCACAUAAAGAUUAAGCAUAAUAAGUUGCUAAUAGUCAAAAGGCACCCAAGGAUUAAAAGAAGUUACUAUGGUGACAGUUAGGGUUUUAAGGUGGCAAUUAGGUUAAGAUGAAUCUAGAUCUAGUUAAAAGGAUGAAGGUGACUCUAGAUGAAGUCUAUGUACUUGGGAUGUAAACUCCAUCUAUAAGUAAAAGGUGUUGGAAGUAAGAGAUAACUUUCUCCACACUUCUCUUAGAAUACAAUCCUUGCUGAUGCUAAGUGUUUGUAGCUUUUAGACUUCUUUUCUUCAAUAAAGAAUUCUAGGUAGAAUAUUUAUAAUUAUUUCUUUUGUAAUUAUCUUUAUGGGUGCGUGAGGAAGCCCCUACAAUUGAGAUGGCUUCUAUUACCAUAUGGAUCUUAUGACCACUCAAAGUAUUGCAAGUUAUUACAAAGUGAUACAACAAACCACCAAUUCAAUUGCCUCUCCACUAUAGCCAACACAAGAAACAAAUAGACCCAAUGUAACCUCUAGGGGGACAAAAACACUACUACUUGGAAUAAAUUUUUUGCUUUUCUCAUGUUGUUGUCGAAAAGAAUAGAACAUGGAUUUUUAGUUUUUCUCUUUGACCUUGCUUGUAGAUUUUGUUGUGGGAGGCUUUAUAAUGUAACUUUGUAACUUUGUGUAGUAGUUUAUUUUGAUAAGCAUAUCUUAAGAAUGAGGUUGUGUUGAUGGUCAAAAAGAUCAUUUUGUUUGCUGACUCACUAGCAACAUGUGUUUAUAUCAACAAUUGGGGAUAUUGCAUCAGUGGUGUAUUUAGAUUGUCCAUUUAGGUUGUUCAUUUAUUUGCUUGUGCAAAUGAUAUGAACUUGAAACUAAUAAAUCCUUAAAAUGGCAGAUAUACAAGAAACAAUGAAAAAACAGCUAAUUCAGUGAAAGAGUGAAUAAUAUAAUCGCUACAAGAAUUCGCAAGGGUGCAACAGUCUACAUUCGCUAGCAAAAUAAUCCAGAAAAAAAAACACGGUAACAAAUAGGAUGAAAUCUCAUUAGCUAUCUACUUUGGGAAAUUAGUAUUCUAACCAAGCUGCGUAAAAAACUAGAACCAAAACCGAAAUGCAUCCACCGGAGUCCCACUCCAACAACCAUGCCCGACUACAAUUAACGUGGCCUUGUGAAUUACUCAAAUACUCGUGUGACUGUGGCAUACAACCAAGCUGCACAACAAACUCUCAGUGCUCUUUCAUCACACCAUGAAUGCGGUUUCACACCAAUGCGGUUUUCAACCUGCAUUGCGGACCGCCACUUCUCUCCUACAUUCGUCUUUUAGCUUUCAAUCGUGACAAACCUAUCCUGCAAACCAAGGACUACCUCACCCAAAAAAAAAGGAAAAAAGAAAACAUUUUAAAAAAGAAAGAUUAAAAAGAAAGAAUCCUCCAAUGGCAUGCACUUUUCAAAUUUACUUCACACCAACUCGACCCCCUCGUGUGCUACCCCGCUUCUUCCACCUCAUCCCAACCUCUUACGACAGUGCCACCACCGUGUUGCUCUCCGCCUGAUGAUGCUCCAGGUUUCGAAGAACCACUCGGGCGAACACUUUGGCCUGCAUUGCUGCCGUCGCUGCUGCAGCCACAGUCCGCAGAACCCGACUCGCACCAACCUUCUGCAGCAGAACUGCGUGGUGCAGCGCAUGCCUGCCUCCAGGCAUCGUGAACUGUGACACGCAACCACAUCCCAAUCCAUCACGCCAAAACCAACCUCCAACCUCGCUCCAACACUUCCUCUCUCUCACGCACAUCACUCCACCGGCGAAUCAAUAACAACCCUACCAUCACACCCACCUCGCGUCCCUCACCACCGCUUUGUCCUCUUCAUGCUCACUCACACUGCUUACCUGCAGAAGAGCGAAUGCCGCACACGAUCGCAAAACUGCAUGUCCGUUCCUCAACAUGGCCACAAACCGCCCGAGCUCGGCUACACUGCAACCAACCCACCCGCACGCUCUUAGCCUCGUCCAUACAAACAACACUCCACGCACCGCACUCCACACCGCCCUUCACUAUCCGCUACCUCAUCACCGCCACUGUCCCAUCACCCCGACCGCCUGUCAUGCCCACACCCACUCGCGUCCAUUCCUUACCACGCGCCCACGUUGCUUCCGCUGCCCAUGCAUCCAAAUCCGUUGCAUCUAAUUCUGUACCAUCCACACAUUCACGCCCUACGUACGCAUCGCCUACCUGCAUCUCAGAUGCCCGGCUUCUUGGAUUGUGGCGGUCUCCGCGACCUGGUUCAACGUCGCACCGGCCCACGAUGACGCAGCAGCUGUCAAAGACUGCGGAUCAAAAAACGUUUGCACGAACGCAUCGAUGUUUCGCAACGCCAGUUUCCUUGCUGCCUCCAAGCUCACUGUCCUCCCGUUGUUCUCCACACUCGACAAUCCAACUGCAACCUCAUCCAUCCUGCGUCAGAGGAGCCCAACUAUGACGUCAACCACUCCGAUCACGUUCACUCUCCAUCACUCCCACUCACUGCUUUGCCACACCCACUCAACCGCUCCAAACGCCGCCCAACCACUUCAAAUCAUGCACACAAACGCGCGCUCCUACGCACCUCAACCCCCUCCACUUCUCACCCCCGCCCCAACCUCGUCCCAACAACGCAACAGCAAUCUCCUCAUUCCUAACCGCGCCCUUCUUCCAUAUCUUCCGGUUCUCCAAAACCACGUCACCCACUCCCCACUGCUCCACUUCACCCGACUCUCCCUCACCGCACCUAUCCAACGCCUACGAACUUCCUCCUCCCCGUCUCACGUCAUCUCACCACCCCCACGUCCUACGACCGCACCCUCACACACCCACACGCCACCGCUUUACCUGCCAUCGAACAUGUACGCCAGAGCCAGAGCUGCCAUAAACCGCGCCAUCUUAGAUCUCGACGACGAGCACAAAUGCACCAGCGCCGGGACUCCCUCCUCUUCCACCAUCCGCAGUGCGUUGCCAGGAUUGAAAACCAGGUUCCACAACGCUCCCACCGCUGUUUCAUGUACGUCCUGCACUCCCAUCGCCGGAAACUUCAGAAACCCACCUCCUAAACGCCCAUCAUCGUCCCACCACACCGAUACCACCACCAAUGCCCCGCCACGUACAACCAUCUCCCAACCAUGGCUCCACACCACGCCCCCUUUCCAUUUCCACUACACCCCAUUCCUCCCACUCACCCAUGCAUCCAGCUCUCGCCUCCCUGCACUUUGCACUUUGUAUGCCACCACCACCCAGCCUCCACCAUCACACCCCAACCACUCGCGUCUAACCGUGUCACUCACAUGACAUGCACGCUGCGCUAACCAAACCCAAAACCUCGUCCCCCAAAACCCUGCAACUCAUCCCACAACUCACCUCAAAAUCAGAGUGCGCCAGGGUGAUCAGUGGAGCCACUCCGCCUUCGCGCCCGAUAGCAAUGCUGCGCCACCACGCAAGUUCCCAACACACACACACACACACACACACACGUCAGACACACGGUCAUCGCACCACACCCCGUCACCCACCUCCAACCUCUGCUACGCAACCAAAAUCCCCAUAAUCGCCAAAUCCAACCCAUCGACUCUCACUCCGCGCAAUACUUCACACAAUCCGCUCCAUCCCCGACGACUCUACCCCUGCGACCUUCAACCCACGCCCAACGCUUCCGCCAACAACACCACCUCCCAUCGCGCUCAAUGCCCUCACCUGUUCGCCUCCGACACAGACAGCCCCCAUAAUGCACCCGCAGCCCUCUCUUGCAGACCUUGAGAUCCGCUGCUACACCCUUGAGCCAAAGCCACCUGCACAACCACCACACCAUCGUCAUGCACCCAAUGCCACCCCCACUCUGCUCCACACCACACCACCGUGCGCCCUUGCCUCAACACAGCCUGUUCACGCCUCGCAAAACCUCGCACAACUCGCCACACGACUGCCCCCCAACCCGAUCUCAACAUCAACGCACCCCGAUCCUACCCUCCACAACCACCCCACGCUCAACUGUCAUGCAGCCCCCCAUCACUCUACAUGUCCGCACUAAGCCUGCAUCCUUCAUCUUCACCUCCAGCUCUGCUCAACCCCCCGGCCACGCUCUCGAAUCACCCCCAUUCACCUCUGCCCCCAGAACGCCCCUUUCGUAUCUCUUCCUACGCCCACGGUUCGUGUCCACUCUCACUCACCAGUGCCUCCACGCCACCAGCCGCUGCAAUAGCUUCUCGGUUUCUGUCGUCGAACGACAGAUUCCACAAUGCUCCCGCUGCUUCUUGUCUGCAAGCGCCGUCCAAGGGGACGCCCAAAACACUCUUAGAACACCGGCCCAUCUCUACCCUCAACCCUUCACAUCACCCCUGCACAACAAAAACACCUCCCUGCUGUCCACCACCCCAACAAAUCCGCAUACCUGACACCUUCAUGAUUUGAGCAAGUCAGCUGCACCAGAGCUUCCAGCGCGCCUUCCUCCCGCCCUACAGCAGCGUUGUUACCGUUGCUGUCUCCAUGAGCCGCAAGAUUCGCCAACGCGCGUGCUGCCUAUCAAACACAGUUCCAAAACACCAGUCACACCUCGCAACUCGUCACCUCCUCUCCCAUUCCGCAUGCUCUUCGCCAACGCUGCACCUAAAACCGGCUCCACCGAUCGUGCAAACACUCCACUCACGCCCCAAACGCCUCCAGGACCCACACAAUGCACUCUCCACUUACGCGCAACCCUCACUAUCGUCACGCCCUCAUUAAUCCUCAAUGCUAAUCACGCUAACCAAAUCCAUCCCCACGCAACACCUUCACCGCAACGCCACUGUCUCAAUCACUUCUUCUCUGCCAACUCAACCAUGUCCUGCACCACUUAACCUCGCAAACCUCCAACCCCUCCUUCCACUCUGCGCCCCUGCCACUCAUUCCAAACCCCAUGUGUGUGUUUCUCACUCCGCUACCCCCUCAUCACGACCCAACCUCAGCCUUCCAAACCCCAUCCCCCUUUACCAACCGCUGCUCUCAGCUUCCCGUUGCCUCGUACCUGCUCUUGCACGCCUUCGUGGUUACAAAACCGCGCCAGCCUCACCAGAGCCCGCACACCCCCCGCCACUGCGACUUCCAUGCUGCACUUGUCAUCGGCUGCUAGGUUGGCCAACGCACCUGCUGCUCUCUCCUGCUAUCCGGAAACAAAAUGCUCAACGUCAAUCCCAACCGCAUCCCAACCCCGCUUCCGCUUUCGCCGCUGCACUCUCUCAUCUACAUGCUCAUCACAACCCACCCUCAAACCAACACCAAUGCCCACCACCAGCCUUUCCAACACACCUCGCACCACCCCAUGCCACACACCAAACGUAGUAGCCUCACGCAUCCCUUCUUCCUCUCGCCGCACCACACCAUUCAUUUCCAACAAGAUCCCAACACCCAAAUGCCAACCAUCACAGCAACCACCCGUCAACCACUCCCAACGUCAAACCUAGCUGUGCGGAUCAUGCCACAACACUAAAGCUACUGGGCGAUGCACGUGCUCACCAGGACACCCUCCCCUCCGGCGGGCCACUUGAAUGCCAAUCCCACCAGUGCUUCGAUUGCGCCUGCGCCAGCUAUCGCACCCUGUUUGCAUUCACGCCCUCAUUUGUCAGUGCGCUACCAUGACCAUUACCAUGACAACCAACCCGACCAUCCAUCUCCCACCCCCUAACCCCUGGCUCCUCACUACACUCUCCACCCUCCGCUUUCCUCACCGACUCGCACAAACACGUUCCUCUUUUCCAACUCUACACUGUUCCCAACCUCAACAUCCGUGCCGCGCCCUGUCCCUUCCACAACCCCGACCUCCCACACCACCUGCCUUCCUCACCCCUCGCUCUACAAUGUCCACACCGACGCGCUCACACCACCAAUUCGCAGCAAAACACUUCAUCGCAAUUGCCAACCACAGCGCCUCACCUUGUGCUCCUCUCCCACCGACAGAUUCCAUAAACCCCCCGCCGCCUCCUCAGCAACCCACCGGUUCCGGGACCUCGCCAAACCAGCCAGGAUACUGAUGCCCCCUUCCAAAGCAACCCUUUUCGCAACCUCCGUGUUCACGGACAAAUUUGCGAUGGCCUGCACCAACCAACCCAACAGCUACCAGUCAGUCCAACUCCCCACAGCUUCUGCACCCCACACGCACUGUGCCCGCAUGCGACCCACACUCCCACAAACAUCAACCCAUUCCGCAAAUACCACCAUCGUCGUCCACCUGCUCUCCCCCGACCCUGCUCCACCCCACGCUCCACAACUCACGCAAUACCCCCGCUACCCUACAAUCCUUCCUGCGCACACGCCUGCCUUGUGCACACUCACACUCCACUACAUUCCCCACCAACCCCCCUACCUUCGCAGCUUCCGACUGCACCCCCUCGCGGCAAGACUUCGCCAGCCCCAACAGCAGCGCGAUCCCGCCCCCGUUCAUCACAGCUUCCGCCCGCGCAGAAUCUACAGUCGCGUUCUCGUCGUCCACCACUACAAACGUCGCCAAAGCCGACGCAGCCCUCUCCUGUACAUCCUCCUGCGCGCUUUGAACCAGUCGAAGCAUCAUCGCGAUCCCCUGCUUCAGCAGACUCGGUGCAUUGCACUCCGCGAUCUUCAAAACCGCAUGCGACAACAUCCACUCCGUCCACUUCGCCACUUCCGAAUCCGCGCGCGCGCGCCCGCCGCACCUCGACCUCGCGCACGAGCCUGCCUCCUCCUUCCAAUUGCUCGGGCUCAGCAAAGCAUCCAACCCUUCCAUCACAUCCGUGAACCGAGCCAGCACCACCGUCUUCUUCGACGACGGCAGUGUCACGGGGUUGCUGCCCUCCUCCAGAACAGGGCAGUUCAGAGCGCAAACCACCCUCAGCUCGGGCCCUGCCAGGACCUGCAUCAGCGCAGUCGGAGUGAUAUCUGUCCGCGAAACAUCCAGCCCUGCCAGGUUCGGCAAUUUGCUCCACCAAUGCGCCGCCGUGCUCCACACUAUACACCUGCAUCCCGCUACCGACAAAAAUCGCAGGCUGCUCGCACCCCCGAACGCCCCUUCGUCGAUGGUGUGACUGUCCAGGAACCCCAGCUCCGUCAGACCCUUGCAAUGCUGGAACAACGCCUGGAUGGCGUCUCUCUCCACUUUUAGGACGCCCGACACGCACAGCCGUCGCAAUUUCGGACAACACACUGCAAUCACCUUCAAUGCCUCGCUCGUCACUCUCUCGCAAUCCGAACCCAGCAGCAAGCUCUCCAGGUUCGCAUGCCGGGCGACCACCAUGGACAGGGUUGCAUCCGACAGCUGGCUGCAGCAAUCGCCGCUCAGCUCCCUAAGCCCCUUCGCCUGCAACCCCACAAUUGAGCUCGCAGAGGCACCUCUGCGGAACUUCAGCGCCUCCAAAUUCGAGCAUCGUCCUGCCAGCGCAGACACCAUCUCCGAAUUCAACGAGUGCGACCGAAGAUCCAGCGAAUUCCACAGCGAUGGCGAGCUCCCCAGCACCUGCCAUCCCUUGCACACGGACGCAAGGCUCGCCCUGUCCCUGUGGUUCAGCAGAUUAAACAACCCAAGCACGGUUUCAUCUGGAAGACUUGUCCAAUGCGCAUCGCGACCCGCGUCACUUUCAACACCUGAUUCUGUAGCCGGCACCGCCGGUGCACCACAAGUGGACGCCGCCGACGAUGUCGGCGACGAUGUUAUCCUGGCUUUCUUAUAUACAACAGCCUGCUGCUGCUCCUGAUCGUCCACCGCCACAUUGACAUUGCGCCGCCGCUUGUUGGACAUGUCAUCAGCUGCUCCUCCGAUGAUCUGUGUCAUUUGCAUGCGCACCGCGCAUGCACCAUCUUCGUGCCGUCACUGCUUCGUCAUCACCCACACAAAUUGCCGCUUCAACCUCUCUUAGGGUUGCCAACUCCCAAUAUCCGCGCCGAUUAUUCCUUCCACUCCGCGCACUCUGCAAUUCCUCCGUCCUCGCCCAUCAGAACGUCACCCGCUCCUGCACGCAAUCAAAGGUCACAUCCCCCGCUUCGUGUUCUACCUAUCCUCAAGCAUUGCAUCACGCGGCCCAAAUCGAAUAUAUUCUUGCUGCAUAACCCUGCACCGAUCUACACCUCCCCUCUUCCUCGAAAGAAACCAUCCCCUGGCGGCAUCACCCACAAUCAUCCUUGAAUACUAAGCAGCCACCACCGAAACCAGCCUCAAACCCCAAACUGCGGCAUCAUUCUUCACUUCCAACCGAAAAGACGCGGGCAAGCAGCAUGGCAUCGAAGAGGGAAGAGAGCAGAUGAGAAGAAACGGAAGAGCGGAAGCAGGAAGUAGAGAGAGAAAGAGAAAGAAAAAGAGGGGGUGUGGCGAGAAGGGAGGAAGCGCUAAGGAUUGCGGGAUAGACACGGGAGGGGGAGGGGGAAGGGCAGGCGUAGCGACGACGAGUGAGAGCGAGAGCGAGAACAAGAGCAAGAGAGCGUGGGACACGAAUGAGAAACAGCAGACAGAGUGAGUGAGUGAGUGAGUGAGUGAGGGAGCGAGCGAGUGGGGUUGAGUUUUUCCUGCAGAGAGAGUCUGUUCCAUUCUUCAUGGAGGAGGAAAGAAGCUUUGGUUUUCAUGUGGCAGCUUCCUCUUCCUUCCUUCCUUAGGGAGUCCACGACCACCCCCCCCCGCCGCUCUUCUUCUUCUGCGUCCUCCUUCUCGUCGUCGUCGUCAUCCCUGUGUCGCCUUCGUCGCCUCUUCCUCGCUGCUCGCUGUUUUUGUGUUCCCCUGCGUUGACCGAUGACCGCCUGCCCUUCUCGCCCAGAAAGGCACCCUAUAAUUGGCGCCCUUUAUAUUUCUCUUCUUCUUUUUCUUUUCUUUUCUUUCCUUUCCCUUUCUUCUGUUUAUUUCCUUUCUUUGCCCCGUCUGGAAUCUGGAAUCAAUGCCACCACCGCGGAAUAUGGAAUCUGUGCCCACUUCAACACACCCACCACCCCUCAAGGCUGAUUACCCCAUUUGCUUCCCUUCCAAAUCUGUGUGCAUGCCUUGUCCACCUCAUGCUCACAAGCCAAUCAGAACUCGUCUGUGUUUGUGUGUUGCAAUCGUUUGCUUCACCCCCUUCCACCUCUGCUCUUUGUGCGUUUUGGUUUACAUCGGUGGUUUUUCAGUAAAUUGUCUCUGUUUUGUGCACGUUGUGCCCACGAUAUGGGUUCGUAUCUUUUGAUGGGAACAAAGGAUUUGACGAGUGCAAGUCCGAGAGUACGGGCAGGGAGGAACUGAAAAUUGCACUGAACUGUAUAAGAAUACAUGCGUGGCUGAGAUGCACGGAGUCGUGUUCGUAAUUCUCAGUAGUUGCGACACUCGAGAGGGAUGUUUAACAUGUUCUCUGUGGGAUUUAUUUUUAUGCAUAUGCAUGAUUUAUAUUUAUUUUUAUGCAUAUGUUGUUGGACUUAUUUUGAUAAAUUCGAGAAAUUAAAGUAGUAUAAUUCUUAAUGUUCUCGGCUGUCACAAGCUGGUAAUAGUACUCUCUUUUAGAAGGCAUUUAUCUCAGGGAAGCUGUUGUUGUUGUUGGAGUUGACUUCGCCCUUGAACGGCGUCUGGUAAGAACGGAAAUGAAGCUCUGAUGACGAACAAGAAAGUUGUUCUCUCGGUUUCGUUGACCAUGUUGGACCGUCGUUCGUCGCGAUGAGGCAGUGCCAGAACCCAAAAUUUGAUGGACUUCGCUCGGAAAGUUCUCUGUAGUGAAUUGCACUCUCCUACUUUUUCACGUUGUACCUGCGCCAGGAACUUUUUCGCCGUAAACUCGCCAGUGCUUGUUGGGACCGCGAGCACGCACAAUGCUUCAUUCUGUGUGAGAAUGCUGGAGCUUUUCAAAGCAGUUGUUUUACAAAAUUGGGUCAGGUGGACUUUAUUCUCUGGGAUUAACAUCAAUCACGAAAGCGAGAGGGAGGAAGAUCGAGAUGGGGAGAGAGAUCGGUAGUUCAAAAGGCCUUUGCUCUCCAGGUUCGCAUGCCGGGCGACCACCAUGGACAGGGUUGCAUCCGACAGCUGGCUGCAGCAAUCGCCGCUCAUUUCCCUAAGCCCCUUCGCCUGCAACCCCACAAUUGAGCUCGCAAAGGCACCUCUGCGGAACUUCAGCGCCUCCAAAUUCGAGCAUCGUCCUGCCAGCGCAGACACCAUCUCCGAAUUCAACGUGUGCAACCGAAGAUCCGACGAAUUCCACAGCGACUGCGAGCUCCCCAGCACCUGCCAUCCCUUUCACACGGACGCAAGGCUCGCCAUGUCCCUGUGGUUCAGCAGAUUAAACAACCCAAGCACGGUUUCAUCUGGCAGACUUGUCCAAUGGGCAUCGCGACCCGCGCCAAUUUUAACACCUGAUUCUAUAGGGGGCACCGCCGAUGCACCACAAGCGGACGUCGGCGACGAUGUUAUCCUGGCUUUCUUAUAGACAACAGUCUGCUGCUGCUCCUGAUCGUCCACCGCCACAUUGACUUCGCGCCGCCGCUUGUUGGAUAUUUCAUGUGCUGUCCCUCCCAUUAAUUGAUUAUACUACAUACUUUCCAAACUUGUUCCAGAAGUUGAGAAGCAAAAUCGUUGAAUAUUUUUCAGUGGUACUGGUUUUAUAAUGACCUCAUGUUUCUUGUCCCAUGAUCAAUCUGACUGUUGCCUCUAGUUGAUCGCUCCAAUCCAGAUAUCACUUUGAAUCCACUAUCCUGCGCCCCCUCAUAUCUAUGCCCCAACUUCUUUGUUUCGGAUCUUCGCAAACUUCGAGAUGAGCCGUUGUGGUGUCGUUUUCUCCUCUCACUUCUCCGUUUUGAACUAUCGUGUGGCUAGUUUGAAAUUUCGUGUUGAAGAAACGGGAUAUCCAUCUGCGUAUUACUUUGACCGGGCACUCUGAAGCAUUUGUCCUACGUUGCAGAGAGACGCCGAAUUCAGCCAGCAAUAUCUUCGGCAACGCGUCACAGGUCAGGAGGACACUUUGAGUACGGAAAUUUGAAGUAGUCAACGGGAAGAAAAUUGGCAUCCAUACUGCCCAAAUGAAGGUGUGUGGGGAGAGAAUUACGAGUAGGGGUAGUGGGAGAAAGAGAAAAAGCUUUGCGGACGGAUUCAGCGUUUCCAAAUGACGAGCCUAACCGAGCGAGAUUGCUAGGGCAUGGUCUGUCCGAAUGCUCACUAACAAGUUCACUCGGCGUGUAACCGCUAAUUCCAGUGUCGACGGAGACCUAACGGCACAAAUUCGAAUCUACCCACUUGCUUCCCCAGACUUUUCAGCACCAACUGUCUCUGCGGAGUUGAAAAGCCCUCAACCACGAAAACAUCACUCAGGCCACAAGACAUUUGGAUCAAGCCUUCCACUGUCAAACACUCGUUCCGACCGGAGCCAGUCGUCGUGAUCGUUCAAACUCUCGUCUCUACUCUCUCCCGAACACAUCACACCAGCUCUCAAGCUCAAGAAUCAGGGUGACAAAUUUCCCGUAUUGGAAUCUCCGGAACCUGGAAACUGCAAUCCAAUCUCUGACACCCACCGCUACGCACCCACUAACGUCCCGGCGGCUAUCGCCUACAGUCCGUUCAGUUUUGAGUGACUAAAAGUUUUCACUGCAGUAGCGGCGUGGUGGUGGAAACAGGUGAGCUAAGUAAGCUAGAGGUUAAUAACACAAAGAGCGUUGCGGCAAGCCGGUGUGCUUAGUGUGUACAGUCCGUUUUGGUUUGGGUAAGAUGUUGCAGUACCUGGACUUGGUCACUCUUUGUGCGUGAUUUGCACCUCAGUUUGUCGGGGGGCAGAGCCACAACGGUGAGAGCUAGAAAUCAUUUCACUGCUUUGCUUCUCCUGAUGCUAUUCUAGGAUUAUGAGCUCUGUAAGCUUUAAUACCGAUGAUAGGUCCGUUUGGUGGUUUGUGAGGAGGUAGUGUUUGUCGAUGGUGUCUGCUGCGGCUGGAAGAGUGCAGAUGUGGCUCAGCGAAAGUGGCGUGGAUGGGUCCUGUGUGUUUUUGUUUUUAUUGUAUUUUUUGUUUUUGUUUUUGGAGUUUUUUUUAUUUUUUAUUAUUUUAUUUUUCUCGUUCAUGUGAACAUCAGUGAUGGUGUCCUUGCAAUGUUUGUCAUGCGUUUUAUUGUUGUGGUGUGAGUGGUACCCCGCUGGUCUAUAAAUAAAGGCUGUGGACAUGGAGUCUUCUGUACACUGGUUUGUACUGAGAACUGCUUCUGAGCUGUUUCCAAACACUGUUAAGUAUCAUACACUCACAUAGGUAUUCCAUGUGUGUGUAUAUAUAUAUAUAUAUACAUAAACAUUUAAGGGAAUGUUAAAUAGACCUAAGUUUUUACUAAAUCAACUUACCCAUCCUAACCAUUAUGAAAAUAAAAAAUGACCUCUGGAUUCAUUUCUCCACUAUUGGAACUACAACAAAUAAAAAACCAACUAUAUUCAUCAUGAUUACCAUAUCUUUCAUCAAAGGUGAGUCUAUUUAAUAAAAGUAUGGUUCUAUUUAACGUUCCCCAUAUGUAUAUGUAUUAUAUGUAUGAAUGCAUAAUACAAAAGUAAGUUAUUUACAAUCACAAUGGUACUUGGUUCAACAGUAAAUUUGAACACGAAUACAUUUUUGAUUUUUUCUCAUCUUGAGUAAAUAUAAGCAAGUCAAUAUUUAUAUCACAUGACACAUAUUUCCAAUUAUUAAUUUUUUCAAAACUAUAAAUAAAACUUCAUGAUUUUGUUGAAGUCCUCUCAUAUUUGAUUUCUUCAUAAAUCUUGAAAGUUUCUAUUCAAUUACCCAAGUUCACAUACAAGAGUUUUUUUGAGCUUGUACAAACAUUCGCAGUUGCAUUAAAGCAGCUAAGCUUGUUUGGAUUGAUAUGUACACUUCUAAGUACUCUUGCGACUCCAACCACAUGGUUAUUUUGAUUUUUUAUUUGAUUCUUGACGUCUUUAGGUUUCCAUAUUUCUCUCAAUGAGUAGCAUUCAUGUGCUAGCACUUUAUCCUUAACUCUCUGUGUAAUGUGCAAUAUGUGUCUUCAACCUCAAUGCACACAUUAAAACCAAAUAAAUGAACCAAAUAUAUUGUCUUGGUAUCAGAUUAUUUUCAUUUUAAAUUCAAUUUAAAAUGAAAUUCAUUUUCGAAUUAUAUGAUUCGGACCUUUGUUCCAAAUCUAAGCAUGUGAAUAUUUAAUAAAUAUUCUACAGCAAGCUUUAAUUUAAGCGUUUUAAGAAAAUAAGAAAAUAAGAAACAGACGUGCAAAAUAAAUACAAAUAAACAGAAGAGGAGAAAAUAAAGGAAAUAAAGUCUUCUAUUUGCAGAAUAUUUUUUUUUGCAUAAAUAUUUAUUAUAACUUUAUAAAUUUGUAUUCAUAUCUUAUAUCAUUUGUGGUUUUUCAAAGUGAAAAUCAAUAAUUUUUGAUCUGUUUUAUUUUGUUUGUUUUUGUUUUUUGUGUUUUGUGUUUUUUAUUUUUUCAGAUUUGAAAGUACUUCUUCCUUUAAGACCCAAUCGAAUAACAUCAAAGAAACUAAAUGCAAUAAAUAAAUAAAUAAAAAUCAGCAAUGUUGAUCAUCAAUCAUUUCAAUUGUAAUGUAAUGUGACAUCAAUAUCAAGAUAGAGAAAUUUCGCAUAAGUAGAAUUCAAAAAGGAAUUUACAAUCCCAAGAAAGUUUCGAGAAGCUUUCAAAUUAAAUAAAUUGCAAUAACAAUGUUCAUGGUUUAUCUUUAAAAAGAAACAAGUGUUUUUGUUUUUUAUUUUAUUUUCUUUUCCAAAAUUCAUUGUUUCUAUUCUUUAGUAGAAAAUGAACCAUUUCAAUCCAAUAAAAAAGACAUCAAAUUCGUCCAUUGUCUCCAUGUCUUCCUUCUAUCCGUUCUUUCUUUGAUUGUUUGGUUCUUUCUUUUGUUCAACAUCAAUUUGGGUUGUCUCAAUAAAAUGGCAGAACUUUUGUUUCAUCUUUCGUACAUGUUCUCAGAUCAAAGAAAAACUUUCAUCGCUGUAGAAGCCAGAACACGGAGGAGAUGCACAAGACUGCACUACACAUAAACCACAAGACGAUAAGUCUGAUCCGCCAGAUUGUGCUCGCCAUGAUCUUCACGCUGCUCAAAUCAACACAAAAAACUGCAGAUCAUCCUCAAAAACAGAACUGUCGCGACGCAAAGGUUGUGCACACAAUGCCUCGGAACUCGAUCUCGAAAGAGGCAUUGCCUCCAAACGCAUCCAAAUGCAAUGCGAGUGGGUCGUGAGUGUUCAGUGGAUAUGGCGAUUCUUCAUGCUCACUAACCAAUUGCCUCGUUGGAAGCCUCUGCUGAAGGCCGAUUUGUGAAGGUUUCCCACUGCGAGGUUUUCUAUUUUUAUUGCCAUGGCAGCGCCGCAAUUGAUGCUGUGAUGAGGAUUCUCUUGGUGAAGAUCGAAGAAACUAGGACAGGCACAGUCGUGGCUCGAAGUAGACAGGUUUCUAGAAUGACAGUUUCUUCAAAACCAGGCGGAUUUGUAAGGUCACUCGGUCUCCUCGUGGGAGUGUAAGAAAGCUUGCUGGGUUAUUGAAAAACUUGAAGUGGUUCUCAACCUGCAGAACUCCUGCUGUAGCGGAGAAGGCGAUCGCACGAGCUUCAAUGGCUCGGCGUAGAUUAUGGUUGUGGGCAGCGAUGGUUCCAUUGGCGUUUCAAAGUAUACUGUAGAGAGUGUCUGCAUACAUCAUGAAGAUUCUCAUUACACUUUGUCUCUGUGAUACCAAGAUUUGUCACAAACCUGCAUUGGAAACUGUAGAAACGAAAACGGAGAUGCUUUCCCCAAAGUACUGCUGUGCGUGCGUGAGCUUGAUCCCGCUACCCGACACUCCUCUAAUCUGCUAAACUUUGACAUUCACAUCUCCCUUGAACUAUAUCCUGUCCAAUCCUGGUAUGAUUGGAUAUAGGGCAUAGAAGGGAGAGUUUGCCAAAGAAAUUCAAAUGAUGAGCUAGACAAUAUGCAGAAAUUCGCAGCAUCCUUUCUCCAUUCCCACAGACAAUUUUCGCCUCGAAACAUUGCUAUGUUGGUUGAGCCCAACAUACCUUCCCUUUUUAGCUUGAAUCGUUGAACAAAACAAUGUAGGUCUGAUGAGAAAAAUCUUUGAUAGAUUCUUAAUGGCAGAACCAAGUUUAUUCUGGUCAAAGUUUUGGUUGUUGCUGCUGGAAUCAUUGCUUCAUGGCUCUUGUUGGAAGCAAGGUGAUCCAGAGGCUAUUCAUGUCACUGAUGUCAUUUUGAUAUGAGACAUGCAGCUCAUACCUUUACGCCGUAGCACAAACGUACCCCCACGUUCAGGAUCAGAAUUCAACAAAUCGAUCAUGCAAAAGUGAGAGGCUUUCACAAGGCUGAACCCAUGAUGUAUCCCUCCCAUGAAUGUGCGAUGACAUCCUUCAAAUCUUUCGGUAUCCUAACGUAUCCGGACAGUGGCGCAAGUUAGAAAGAACAAACAAUCAAACACUUCAGGAUGUCCAAAAUGUAUCCCAAUCUUCAGUGGAUAGUUGAGGACAAAAACUAGUGAUCUUCCAUUCUAUUUUGAGAAUUCCCACAAGCUCUACCUCUCUGCAUCCUACUCAGUAGCAAAUGUCACUAAAUGUCACUAAGGAAAAGCACUUACCUAUGAAUCCUUUAUACUUUUGUUUUUUUAAAACCAAAUAGUGAACACAAUGAAGACUAUUAGUAAAUAAAUGGCUUGUUUCAUCAAAAAUAUUAAAAAAUCAACUAUAAAGCCUAGGCACCAUUAAUCAAGAAAUUAAAUAUUUGGAUUGUUAGGUAUAAACUAUAGACAAGUAAACCACACUGCCUUAUUUUGUCCAUAAUCUCUACAACAACUAUGUAUAGACAAAAAUCAAAUCCAACCUUAAAGACCUUCUUAUUAUUUAGGAUAUAUAGGUUCUAUUUUUCCUUCAAACCAAAAGAUUAACAUUUUACCUUGUGUCACUUGUAAAAAGCUACAUUGAAUAUGACAAUGUUGAAUUAAAAAUGAGAUUGUAGAUUCAAAUUGUAGAGGGUCUCAUUCUAAAGUUUGUUGUUGAAGAUUUGAUAAGAUCAUUUCUUUAAAGUUUUUGUCAAAAGACUGGAACAAGCAAGUCAAAUUGAUUUUGCCAAGAAUUAGAUUUGUAGAUUUUAAAAUUAUAUAGAAGAUCCAAUCUUAGGAUGAAAUCAUCAUAAAAGAAAAAUUAAAAAAGACCACUUCAAGAAAGAUUUAUAAAGACUAUAGGUAUUAAAAUUACAUUGUCAUAUAUUGUUUUAAUAAAAAUAAAAGAAGAAAAUAAACUUAAGAUGUAUAUAGAUUAUUUAGAUUUAAAGAAGUACACUCAAAAGGACUAUUUUAUUAUCUUUUAUUACCUCUAUAGUAAAUAAAGUAGUAAUUCAUGACUUAUAUAGUUUCAUAGAUAGAUACGUUGAUUACAAUUAAGUAUUAAUAAUUCUUAAAGAUUAGCACAAGAUUACCUUUGCUUCACUUUGGAAGACUUUUGUAUAUAUAGUAAUAUCUUUUGGCUUUUUCAAUAUUCUUUUAGCUUUUAAAGACUCAUGAUUUAUACAUUCUCAAAUCUUCUUCACAAAUCCAUGUCAAAUUUUACUAAUAAAUUUAAUUGCUAAUCAUCAAAAGAUGAUCUUUUGAAAGCAUUGAAUUGCACUUCUCAAGUUUUAGAAAAGUAGGAAUUUCUUUCUAUUCAAAAAAAACUUAUUUAGAGAUUAAAAAUAGAUUUUUAAAAAAUAUAUUAUUUCAAUAAAAUGAUUCUAAAAAAUAACAUAUCAUUACAAUCUAAAACCUUCAAAUAGAAUAAAAAAUAUUUAAAAGAAUUUGAAGAACAUGAGUUGGUUAUUAGACUUAACUGAGUCAUACAUGUGAAAGCAUGUCAUAGCAAAGUCUUCUUAAAUGUUACACCAACAAAACUAAAACAUCCAAGAAUAAUAAAUAUUUGUUUCCAUGAUGAUUAAUCAUGCUAAAUCAUAAUACUUCACUAAAUUAAGAUUUUUGGAAGAGAGAUCUAUUCCACUUCAAUCCAUUUUUUUCCUUCUUCAUAUGUUAUCUCAUAAGAUUCACACUAACAAGUUCCAACCAUAAAAACUGAUGCUUUAGAUUAUCACUUUGUUUGAAUUUUAUUAUUUUAGACCUACCUUAUUAGUUUUUUUAGAUAAACAUAUUUUAUUUAACUUUAUUUUAUUUAGAAGGGCAAAUACAAAAUGCACUUGAUCCAUCUUAAUUGAGGUAUAGAUUGAUGGUAAAAUUCAUCCUUCAAUCCAAAUUACAAGAUUUCUACAAUUAAGACUUGAUUGUGAUUGAUAGUUUUAAGUAAAAGAUAGAAUCAAUAAGAAACAAAAAAAAACAAGCACAAAAUUUAACACUACUUUUUUCUACCUUGGUUAUUUUUUUUAUAGUAAUAUAAUUAUAUAAAAUCAAUUAAAAAUCUUAUUUUUUAUAUAAAUAAUUAAAAUAUCAUAAUAUUCUUUUUUAUACUUUUUUUAAUCUACUAAAUAAUAUUUAUAAGUUUUUUAAUAAGUAAUAUAUGUAGAUAGAAUACUAAUUAGAUAUUGGUUUCAAUAAUUAAAUACUAACUUUCAUAACUAAAAAAACAUACUUAAUCAAUUAAGAUAAUUGCUUCUAAGACUUACUAUAAUUUUAUUUUUAUAAUUUUUUUCUAAUAUAAUACUUGCAACUUAUAAAUCCUUCUAAAUUAUAAUAAAUAUUUAAAUAAUAAAAUUUAUUUUCUAGUCCUAAUAUUUAUAUAUCUAAAUCACUUAAAACUAUAUUUCUUACAAUUUUAUUAAUUAAGAUGGAUUGAUGGAAUUCACAUGUGGUGAUAAUUAAAAACUAUUUGUAAAAAUGGAAUGAAUCCUACUCUUUGCUUUGACACAAUAUAUAUAUAUAUAUAUAUAUAUAUAGAGAGAGAGAGAGAGAGAGAAUAAAAGAUAAAAAUAAUAAAAUUAUGAUAAAAAAACUAAAAUAAAUAAUUAUUUGGAUUUAAUUUAAUAUGACUUUAUAUGUAGCAAUUUCUUGCUUAAUUUAUUAAUUAAAUAUUGGAGAGCAUCUAUACUAAAAGUGAGAUUAAAAUUAGAGACUACUUGAUGUAUAAUUCCAUAAUAACUUGAUCCAAUUUAACUAGCCACAAUUGAAACAAAAUUGACUUAAAAAAAAAUACUUAACAAUGAUGGUUGCUUAUGCCUUGAGCUUAGCCUCAUAAUACACUAAAGUUAAAAACAAUCUAUAGGUUUGGCUUUCAACCACUACAAAAAUAAUUAAGCAUACUAAUGUUGUAAUCAAUGUUUAUACUUUAUAUUCCUUACAACAACUUCCAUUAAUUUGUAUAGAAAAAUCUUUUCUAUUUGAUUUUUGAGUUAAACUAAAUUAUUAUCAAAGAUUUUUUUAAUAAUAUAUAAUCUUAUUUAAAAAGUAUCAAAUUUGGCUAAAAUUUCUAGUUUUUCAGUAUCUUAAACUAUCAUUAAUAUCUUUAUUAAAAAAAUAAAUAAAAAUAAAAAAAUUAAGAAUAAAGAUCUUUUUCUUUUUCUCUAAGUAAUUUUUAAAUAUUGAGUUGCAUAUCUUUGAGUUUCACUUAGCUUUUUUUAAUUUUCUAAUUUUUAUUUUAAAGAUUCAAAAGUAUAAUUUUUUUAUUAAUAGUAAUAUAUAAAAGUGAGACUUUAAAUUCUAUAAGUAUAAUAGCUUCUAUUUUAUAUAUCAAAGAAAAGAAUAUGGUCCUUAUAAAAAGUUUGUAAAUAGUUUGAUAAGUCCAAAAAAAAAUUAAGUUUAAAUUUCCAAUCAUAUUUAGAAUCUAUCCCAAUUUUUUUAAUAUCCAAAUUAAAAUUUAUUUGAUUAUCCAUGUAAGACUACUAUAAGAUUCUAAUCACUACUUACAUAUGGUUGGCAAAUAUUACAACGUCUUUUAAAAACUACUAAAUUUGCACAUACUAUAGGCCAAAAAUAAUUUACUUUAAGAAAGUUUUGAGCUUUUAACUAACUAAAGAAGUGUCUACUACAAGUACUUGGAUAAAAAGCCCCUAAAACAAGUUGUACCUCUUCAUAUAUAUAGUUCCUUAAUAUGCCAUCAAUUUCUUAAUAAUAUAAUUUUUUAGUUUUAAGAUCAAAAUAGAUACGAUUUUUUUUAAUAUUCUAUCUUUUAUUUUUUUAUAAGACAUUGGAUAAUUUUUGAGUUAAAAAAUUUGGCAAUAUAUUCAUAUCAUGUACAUUCCACCAUAACAUUAAACAAAUAGUCAUCAAAACGUUCAUUUUCUAUAUCUUUAAAACUUAUAGUUGUAAAUAAUUGUAAGAGAUAAUUGGCUUAUUUGUGUUUUUUUUUAUUUAUAUUAUAUAUUAUGAUUAAAUUUUGCUAAAAACAAUAGCUUUUUAGUUCUUCUAUUACUUUAAUCCAAUUAAUUUACAAUACAUUCAAAGGUUAUUUAAUUUACAAAGAAAAUGGCUUUGUUCAUUAAAAGAUAAUUGUAAAAACCUUUGACACUAAAGACCAUAGCUAAACAUUCUUCUUCUAUGGUUGUAUAAUUUUAUUUAUUACUUAUUGGUUUUUUGCUAGCAAAGGCUUUAUGAAAGAUUACACCAUUAUUAAUAGGCUGAUAUAAUACACUAUCUAUUUUCAAUUUUGAAUCAAAUACAAGAUAUAUUUAAAAUUUUAAAAAAUAAGAUUAAAAGAUAUGCAUAAGAAUCAUUUUUUAGACAUUAAAAUAGAAAUCUGUAUUUAUACACAAAAAAUUGGAGAUGGACAUGAAUUUUGUAACAUGUUUUAAAAUUUUAAACAUAAAUAUAUUGAAAGUCCAUUAAUAGCUCCUUUUGAUUAUCAAAAAGAAUCUAUUAAAAAAAUUAAAAUAUUAUAUGUUACAUUAGAAAAGUUUGCAAAUAAAAUUCAUGAAAAAAUUUACAUACAUCUUCUAUUUGUAUAGAGAGUACAUUGACUUUUUUUAGACAAAUAAUAGGAUAUAAUGGCAAGUAUAUGGAGAGUCAACUUCAACAAAUAAAAGAAUAGAAAAGUACUCAAGCUUGUCAAUAAGUAUUAAUACAAAUAGCUAGUUUUUCUAUGAUGGUUGGAAACAAGAUGAUCUAAGUAAUCAUCACCUUAACUUUGAAUUUCUUACAAUAGGAUAAUAGAUAGAAAUAUAGAUGGAAUGAUGUUGAAAGAGACCAAUGAUAGUAGAUAUUGGAAGAAAGAAGGAGUAUAUAAAGAUCAUAUUAGAAGAGCUUACUAUUUUAUUAGAGAAUAGAGUGUAAAUUGGUGUGACCAUGUACAAUCUAUAGUAUAUGCUUGAAACAUAGAUUAUAUGGUUUUAAGUCAUUUAAAUAUAUAUAUAUAUAUAUAAUAUUUAAAUUUUUAUUUAAAUAUAAUAUUUUAUAAAUAAAAAAUAAACAUAUAUUUAUAUAAGUUACAUAUUUUAUUUUCAUAUCAACAAGUCUACAUAUAAUUUUUUUUUUAUAUAAAAAAAAUCUACAUAUUAUAUGAAGAAUAAUUUUUUAAUUUUAAAAAUCUCAUAUCUCCUAAAAUAUAGACUUGCUAAAACAUUUAAACAUAAAAUUAUGCUCAAAAGCAUCACAAAUUAAGUGGUAGGUGUUGAAUUGACUUUUUCUUCACCAACUUAGUUCAAUCAAUUUUCUAUAGGAUUUGAGUACAUAAAAAUAGACUACCAAUUAGAAAAGUUAAUAAAAAUAAGUUAAUACAAUCUAAUAAAAGUAAGUUAACAGUACAUAUAUUUAUUUUUAAAAUAUAAAUAUAAUUUAGAUCUUAUUAAUUGGUAUAAACUUAAGACAAAUAGGAUCAAACAUUAACUAUAUAGACUAUAUUAAAUAAUUUUAUUUCUUUUGAACAUGUGCUUCUUUCAACUGUCAAUAAUAAACUACUUUGUUUAAAAUAGUAAAUUAUUUUACUAUCACUACAAUUUGAUUAAAUAGUCUUUACUUGCAUACAUGUAUAAAUUCUAAGUUUCAAUAGUAAAUCAAUUGAAUUUAUUCUAAUAGUUGUUUCAAAAUAAGUCUUAUUUAUUCUUUAAUAAUCCAAUCAAUUGAUAAUAUGCAUUAAGUAUAAUUGAUAAUUUGUCUUAAAAAAAAUACCAAUAUGAUGAUUAUUCACUCUUAAAUUUGUAAUAUUAUAUUCUUAGAAAUUAAUAUGAUUAUUAUCAACAUUAAGAAUACAAAUCAAUUGGUCUCUAUAUUUUUUAUUUGACCAAUACCAUGAACUUCCUAUAAUAUUAAGCCUAAAAUGUUAACAUAAACAUUGAAAGAAUACUUUAUAUUUAAAAAAAAAAGAUUGAUUUAUUAAAAACUUCUUAAUUCUUUUAGUUGGUGACAUAUCUCCAAUUAGAUUAUAUAUUUUUUAGUGAGAUGAUCUAAUUAUAUAGUAUUUAUUUAUAAUAACUAUAAUCAACUGCUAAUAAUUUAUUUGGUAUGAAUUAAUCUCCUAAUAACCUAUUAAUAAUCUAAGUAUAAUUCAAUCAAUAAAAGUGAACAUUAAAAUUUAAAACUUAAAAAUAUUAUAGCAAUUGAUAAGAUUACAAGAUGUUUAUAAGAAAUCAAUUUAAAAUUAAAAAAAAAUCAAUAGAAAAAAAUACCAAGUCAAUUUUCUUAUUUUUAAAAAUCAAAAAACUUGUAGAACAUUCUUAGUCAAUCAUUGGAUUUAUAGACCUCCAAAAUAAAAAAUUAGAUUAAAUAAAAAAUUAAAAAAUAUUAUACAUUUAUAAAAUAAAUUUUAAAUUUUAAAUUAUCAAAUAUGUAAUAUCUACAAAUUUAUAUACUUUUAGAAAAAUUCAAUGAUAUAUUUAGAAUAUGCAAUCUUCAAAUGGAUCUAAUGAUAUUUUAAAAACUAUAAAAAAUCUUUUAUAAAAAAGUCAAAAUUCUAAAAUUAUCAUGAAUAUACAUAUUUAUUUUAAUAAUUAAUUAUAUAAUAUAAAUAGAAAAAUAAUAAAGAAAUCUAAAUUUUUAUUAAAGCAAUCUACUCUAUUUUAACCAUCAUUGCACCUUUAUAGCUUCCAUCCAUGUUUUUAGUUGUUUUCUGUUUUCAACCAUUGUUAAAGAUGGAAGUUGAGAGUUGAAACUGUCAAGAAUGGUGUUGUACUAGAUAGUAGUAUAAUAUGUAAAAAUAAUAUAAAAUAUCAUAUGAAUUUGGAUUAUAAUUAAAAAUAAAAUAAUAAUAAUAAUAAUAAUAGAUAAAAUAAAAUAUUUAUCUAAUUUAUUUAAGUUUAUAAUUUAAAUUUUAGUAAUUAAAGAUAGAUGUUGUAAGAUUUAUGAGCAAGGAGUUUAGAUAGGCUUUGGUGUCAAAAGUAAAAUAUUUUGACUUUUAGGCCAUCCCAUAUAGAUGAAUAAGGUGAGUAAUAGAGGACUUCAUUUCUAUUGGUUUAAAGUUAUGUUCAAUAGGCUUGGAGAUGUUGUUUGAGACGACAUUAAAAUUUGGAACCACUUUAAGGCAAUCCGUUUGAGGUAAAGAAAUCUAUUCCAAGUUUAGAGAUUGGAUUUGAAAAGCUUGUAUUUUAGACUAGAAUUUGAAUGAAAUAAAUAUGUGAUUUAAAGUUUAAAUGAGAGAAAAAUAGUUGUUUGAAGUUAAAGUACGAAUUUGGUAUCUACUAUUAUUUUUUAAAUAUAUAAAGAAAUUUAAAAAUACAUUAAAGAAUUAAAAAGUGAGGUUAGAAAGUUGACUUAAAGAGCCACAUUUUAUAUAAAGAAAUGGAUGCAUUCCAAUCUAAAAACAAAGAAAAGAGAGCUAUUAGAAGUAAGUAUUCAAAAUUAGGAUUUAUAAGUAAGUUAUUUUUAAUAGAUGUUUUGGUUUUGGCCAUAUUUUAAGUGUUUGGAUGAACAUUUGGCUCAAAAUUUCCACAAGUAUACAUAACUAUGUUAAAAAGUUAUAUAUGAAAAAUUCAUAGUAUUUGAAUAUUGGAUUUUUAUGUUAUAAUGGAAUUACUAAGCAGGUACUUAGAAAUUGACAUAUUUAGUACCAACUAACAAUUAGGCAAUAUUCAAAGAUCUGUAAUGAAUUUAUGGUUGAUUUUUUUUAUGAAAGUAGUUAAGGAUAUAAAUUAAGUUUUAGAGAAUUUUAUAUCCAAUUGGAUGGUUACAUUGAAAGUUAAAUACAUUUGGCAGGGGUUUGUAUAAGAAUAGAAGUGGUUUUUAGGAAAUCUAGUUACAUCUUUGAAAUUCUUGUACAUCCUAGACUUGUAUAUUUGAUGCAUUUGUCUUCUUGAAGACAAUGUAUAAAUGAUAUUUAUAUUUAUUAAACUUGUAAUUUAUUUGAGUAAUUAGUGGCAGCUAGAGGUCUAGCACUUUCUUGAGGCAAACUCUUUCUACUAUGACAUUUGGUGCUUCUAUUGAGAGAGUCUUAAAGCACUAAUUUUUCAACAAAUUAUGAUAGAAGAUAUAAAGUAAAGAGGCUCAAAUAAUAGAUGUGGUCAAAAUCUUGGAAAUGAAUUAUUAAAGAUCAUGUAAAUGUAUAUAGGCCAACAAGUUGCUAAUGCAACUUUGUAAAGGGCCGGCAAAGCAUUGAAAGAUAUUACUAGCAAGAGAAGAGGUUUAAUAGAAAGAAUAUCAUUAAAUUUUUGAGGGUCUACACCUAUGAAAUGGAAAUCUAUUAAAUUUAAGAAGAUAUGAUGAUUGAGACCUUUGAUUUAAUAGCUAUGUCAAAAAUAAAAAAAUAAAAAAAGGUAAAAUAGCUACGUGAGAGCAUCAAUGUAAGUACAUGGACUAGAAAGUUCUAGGGGAUUCCUUUCUAAAAGCUUCUAGAAACUUUUCUUCUAGAAGGUUCCAGAGACUUCCUUUCUAGAAGCUUCUAGAAACUUCUCUCUAAAAGGUUCUAGAGGCUUCUCUUCUAGAAGGUUCCAGAGGCUUGUUUUCUAGAAGGUUCUAGAAACUUCUCUCUAGAAAGUUCUAAGGAAUAUGUCCCUAACAUCACCCCCUCCUUUAGCUUCGAGGUCUCUGAGAAGCAAUGUUGUUGAUCAGUACCAACGCAAGAAAAUGAAGAUCUGUCGCAUAACUUCUCCUAUGAACUCCAACUGUUGUUCACGAGGCAAGUGGUUCAUUGACCCUUGAAGCCAACGGUAGUGGCCCACGCCUUCGACUUCUGACUAAGCAUGAACUUCCGUGUCCUCAUUGUGAAAUUGUCCUGCAAACACGCCUUCUGGUUGACCAUCGUAAGCAGGCUUGAUCUCAAAUACGAUCACCAGUGAUCGGUUACUCGGUAUCCUCCGUCGUCGUCGUGGUACAUGUAGUUCUUCAUCUCGGGGUCGCCUUCGUGAGCUACUCGGUUGCGAUACUCUGACUGGCAUAGUAUCUAUCUCUUGGCUAUCCAUAUCAAAAGACCAAACUACGAUCUAUCUUGGAGAAAAUAACUACAUCAACUAUGAAUUUUGCUGGUACUCUCCCCUUUUCUUAUAUUGUUGGGAGAAUAAGCUUCAGAAAGAAGCUAUCAUCGAAUUGAUUUAGGUUUAUCGGGAUGUCGUUGAUGAAACUCCUGUACCUUUUGUGGUGCAUUCGCAAGAUUUUCAGCUGGCUCCCACGUUCGCUCAUUAAUGUCAUAGCCGCACCAAUGAACAAGAUAUUCUAACUUUCCCCACCUUCGUCGUGAAUCCAAUAUCUUUUCAACCUCGUAUUCUUCGUGGUUCUCGAUUUCAAUACUAGGUGGUGGACAUUGCACUCUUCCAGGAAAAGAUGACUCUCGAUAAGGUUCCAACAGAGAAACAUGAAAGACUGGAUGUACCUUCAUAGAAACCGGUAACUCCGGCCGGUAUGCCACUGGAUUAAUUUGCUUCUGGAUGAUAAAUGGUCCCAAUCUUCGAUAGUCCAACUUAUCACAUGGUCGCAUGGUCUUGAUAUUUCGUCGAAGAAGCCAGGCUUUGUCUCCAACUUUGAAAGUAGAUGCUGGAUUCCGAAAUCUAUCUGCAGUCGUCUUAUAGGAUUCUUGAGCAGAUUGUAAUUGAAGCUUCAACAUAGUUUGAAGCUCCGAUAGUUGCUUCGCAAAUCCUUCAGCUAUUGGAUUGUUAUUUGUUGACGGACUCAAUAAAUCAAGCUUCGGAUGAUACCCAUAGUUGGAGAAGAAUGGUCUUUGUUGAGUCGACGCAUAGAGGGUGUUGUUAUAUGCAAACUCGGCUAGCGAUAGAUAUGCAGUCCAAUCGUCUUGCUGAUAGUUGAUGCUGCAUCGUAAGUACUACUCCAAGACUUGGUUCACCCGUUCCGUUUGGCCAUCAGUUUGAAGAUGAAAAGCUGAAGAAAGCUUGAUAUCCACCUUCAAUAUGCCAAAGAGAGAUCUCCAAAACUUUGACACGAACUAGGUACCUCGAUCUGAUAUGAUAUCAUCUGGUAGUCUAUGAUAUCGAUACACAUUAUCGAGAAAGAGUCUUGCUGUGACUUCACUAGACGAUGUCUUCUUACAAGGAACAAAGUGUGCCAUCUUCGUAAGCCGAUCUACCACGACAAAGAUGCUGUCAAAUGAGUUUGAUGAUGGCAAGUCUGUGAUGAAGUCCAUAGAAAUUGAAGACCAUGGUCGACGUAGAAUUGGUAAUGGCUAUAGAAGUCCAUAAGGGCAAUGCCGAGGAUUCUUAGAUCUUGAACAAAUGUCACAAGAGAGGACAAAAUCUUUCACAUCCUUCGACAUUUGGGGCCACCAAAAAUCUCGGGAAAUAAGCUCCAAGGUCUUGUUGAAUCCAAAAUGUCCCACAGCUGGAAAAUCAUGGCGAGAUUGAAGAACUCGGAGUCGUGCUAGUCCUUUUGGAAUGUACAAUCGCUCUUCAAAGUAUAAAAGAUCUCCCUCUACCUUGAACUUGUCGUCAUUGGUACAUUGCUUGAUAUCAAUGGCUACUGAAUCUUUAAUGGUCAUAACACGUACCUGGUUUAGGAAGUCAGCAUCAAAUGAUACAAUAGUAGCACAAAGUUGAAAUCUCUCUGGCUUCAAUAACGUUGUACAUUGUUGAUCAAACGCUGCUUCUCUAGCCUUUGGUGCAAGAUAUGAUCUCCUUGAUAAAGCAUCGGAUAGUCCUUGCUGCCUUCCAGGUCGAUAAGUGAUAAAAUAAUCGAAUCUAGAUAGCGACAUAUUCCACCGAGCUUGACGCCGAUUUAAAACUCGAGCCGUCAUGAAAUACUCCAAAUUCUUGUCAUCCGUAUAUACGGUUACUGGAUGUGCAACUCCUUCAAGAAAGUGACGCCAUUCUUCGAAAGAAUCCACUAUAGCAAGAAGUUCCUUAUCGUGGAUCUGAUAAUUGAUUUCAGCAGCAGAGAACUUCCGAGAAUAGAAUGCAACUGGAUGGAGCUUCUUAUCUUCACUCAUUUGUGAAAGCACAACUCUCAAAGCAAAAUCUGAAGCAUCAGUUUCUAAAUAGAAGGCCUUUGUAAAGUCUGGAUGUACCAAAAUUGGAGCUGUAGUAAAUGCUGUCUUCAAAUCUUGAAACGCCUUCUCCGCCAAAGGUCCCCAUUCUAACUUAUCCUUGCAUGUUAAUCGAGUGAGAGGAGCAGCAACUUGAGAAUAAUUCUUAAUGAAGAUCCGAUAGAAGUUAGCAAAAUCAAGAAAGCAUUGUACAUCUCUAACCGUCUUCGGAACCUCCCAAGACAUGAUUGCUUCUACUUUCUUGGGGUCCAUCUUCAAACCUUCUGUAGUCGCAAUGAACCCCAAAAAUUCCAUCUCCGUCUAGUGAAAUAAACACUUUUCUAAUUUGGCAUAUAGUCCUCGCUUGCGUAGUUUCUCCAAGACCAAACGAACAUGCUCAUCAUGCUCUUCCUCAUUUUUAGAGAAUAUUAGAAUAUCGUCCAAGUAGAUGACAACAAAAUCAUCGAGGUGUUCUCGAAAGAUGUCAUUCAUCAUAUGUUAAAAAACCGCUGGAGCAUUGAUAAGACCAAAAGGCAUGACAUUAUAUUCGAAAUGACCAUACCUUGUACGGAAUGUUGUCUUCCACUCAUCUCCUUCCUUGAUUCGUACGAGAUUAUAAGCUCCCCUUGGAUCAAUUUUUGUAAAGAUCUUCGCACGUCCAAGUUGUUCUAAGAGACUAGAAAUCAAGGGUAAUGGGUAAUGAUUUUUCUUUGUUACCUUGUUGAGGCCUCGAUAGUCCACACACAUCCGUAAUGAUCCAUCUUUCUUCUUCACAAAUAAGAUGGGUACUCCAGCUGAUGAUUUUGAAUGACGAAUGAAGUUCUUGGCUAGAUUCUCAUCGAUGUACUUUCGUAACUCUGCCAACUCCGUUUGCGAUAGAUUGUAGAUUGGGCCAACAGGUGGUUGUGCUCCUUCUUGCAAGUCUAUGGCACAAUCAUAUGGUCGGUGUUUCAGUAGUAUGUCGGCGUUCUUCUUUUGAAACACGUCUUCAAAAUCUUUAUAUUGCUCUGGUAUACUUGCUAUUGAGAUCUUCUCCUCGGUAGUUGGAGCCGCAUAAAUUACAAAUACAGUGCUUUCUUUAGAGGAUCUUAUAAACGCUCUUGCUCCAAUGAAUAAGGAUUUCUUUUUUCGAGGUUUUUUACUAGGUUUUUGCUUGGGUGGUUUUGUGGAAAAAGUCAUCUUCCGCAACCUCCAAUCUAUCAAUGGAUUAUGUUUUUCCAACCAAGAAAGACCAAGAAUAAUAGGAUUUGAUGGGGUUCUAAUAAUAUUAAAAAUAAUAUGACUACUAUGGUCUUUAAACGUUACUUCUAUAGGUUUUGAUUCAUAGGUGAUGCUACCAGACAAUAAAGGUUGCCCAUCUAUGACCUCAACAUGAACAGGUUUUGAUUUUUGUACUAAAGGGAUCUUAUGACACUUUGCAAAUUCUUCGUCUAAAAAACAAGCAGAUGCUCCUGAGUCUAGUAGUGCUAAGGUUCUCAAUUUUUGAGGGCCGAUAAACAGAGGGAUUGUAAAACAAAGUACAGGUUGGGCAGAAAGAAAGGAACCUGAUUAUUGUUGGGAUAUUUCAUUGUCCAGCCGCACGGUUCCUACUGUGGCUGGGCAUCCUCGUUUUCCUGAACAAAUACUCCCCUAGUCUUGACUAUGCCUCGAUUUUGCUUUUUGGGGUAGUUUCCAACUUUGUGGCCUUCUCCACCGCAAUACAAGCAUAAAUUUUCCUCCAUACGUCGCUUUUUUUCUUCUAUAGUAAGAGAUUUGAUACGUACCGCAUCAAUUUGCAUGUCUUCUACCUCUGAAUGUGAAUUCACACCGCUUGCCGACAUAGUUGGAGCAUGGCGAAUUGUAUGUUGUCUUGAGCGUUGGUCUUGGCGACGUUGGAAUAGGCGAUUAUCGCACUUCACAGCUUAGCUAAUGGCUUCAUUGAGCAUUCGUGGAUCAGGAAGAGUUAACAGCAAAUCCUUCACAUUAUCUCUUAAACCCCAAUAGAAUUGACUCAUCAACGCUUCUUCAUCCCAAUUGAUGUCGCAUACUAAUUGCCUGAAAUUCGAAGCAUAGACUGAUGUAGAACGCAUCCCCUGACGUAGCGACCGGAUCUUUGUUGUAGCCCAUCGAACCUUAUCGUAUUCACCAAAUGCUUCCGCAAAUGCUUCCAAAAAGGUUUCGAAGUUGUUUAAUAUGGAUGAUCGUUUCUCAAACAAAGGAGCAAACCAUGAUAGAGCUUGUCCCGUAAGUAAGGUUCCAACAAGCCCAACACGUGACUCCUCCGUUGGAUAUCGUUCGGGCUGUAAAAUUGUUAUCAACCUGAUUUGAUUGAUGAAUCCUCGAAACUUGGAACGUGUUCCAUCAAACUUAUCUGGAAGGCUAACUCGAGGCUCCUUAUGUUGUAGAACUAGUGGUUCUUGUCGAACCUGAGAUAAAGUUGUUUCUCCAAGUGCCGAAAUUUGAGGCUGGUGUAGUUUAGAUUGUGCUAUCCCAGAUACUCUAUCAUUAUGAAGCCUUGCCACCACUCCUUCAAUCUCUGCAGUUCUUUGUGAUAACGUAGCGAGGGCAUUCAUAAUAGCAUCUAACUUAGACUCCGAACUUUCUGUCAUACUAAUGUCUUGACCUCCGGCCAUUCUAAAAGAAGGACAAAAAUGACCCUAUAAGAGGCAAUAUUGGUUUAUAGGAGGGUAAUCCACAACCUAUAAAACGCCUUAAGAAUUUCAAGAAGAGGGGUAAUCCACUUUCUCCAAGAAAAAUAAGACUCCAAUAUUGUAACAGAAGAAGUAUCAGUUUAGAGGAGGGUAAUCCGCAACCUCUAAAAAAUGCUAGUAUACCUUCAAGUAGAGGGGUAAUCCACACUCUACUAAGAAAGAACUAGCUCUGAUAUCUCAAGUUAGUGUAGUCUCAACAAACUGUCACGGACACAAAAUACAGACUUGAAAUCUAACAAGAAGUUCAAGAAGAAGUGGCAGAACUAGAUUAAACAGAUGAGUACAAGAACAACACCAGAAAGGUGAGCUAGAACUCCAAGAGAUGUGUUGUCGAGACUGAAGAACUCUUCAGCCUCGAUCCCUAUAUAUACUCCUACUUAGAAAGCUUCUCGAGCUACUUCUAUUAACUAGGAAGCUUCUAGAAGGUUCCAGAGGCUUCCUUUCUAGAAGGUUCUAGAAACUUCUCGAGCUACUUCUAUUAACUAGGAAGCUUCUAGAAAGUUCCAGGGGAUUCCUUUCUAGAAGCUUCUAGAAACUUUUCUUCUAGAAGGUUUCAGAGACUUCCUUUCUAGAAGCUUCUAGAAACUUCUCUCUAAAAGGUUCCAGAGGCUUCUCUUCUAGAAGGUUCCAGAGGCUUGUUUUCUAGAAGGUUCUAGAAACUUCUCUCUAAAAAGUUCUAAGGAAUAUGUCCCUAACAAAACUUCAAUUUGAUAUUGAAUCAUCAAUUGCCAUAAAUGACAUCUUAGAAGAAAAGAUUUUAGAUAUCAAGAUUGAAUUUAUCUUAAGUAAAGUUAUUGACAUUGUAAAGAAAGAUUUUAAUAAUCUUAUAAUUGAUGUUAUGAAGAAGAAGAAACAAAUGAUAGUUGAAAUAAUGAUUGCAAGAACACUAGAUACUCUAAUGAUCAAAGAAAAAAAAAUUGAAUAAGUAUUUGCUUUGAAAUAUGAUGAUGUAGGCAGUGGUGACCAAAGCAAAAGAUAUGGAAUCAAUUAUAAUAAGAUUGUGAAUAUAGAAGUUGAAAUUAUGGAGAAAGUUAUGUGUAAUGAGAUAGAAGAUGAAGUGCUACGAAUGUUUUUAUGUGAUGGGAUGACUAAGAUUAAGGUAAAAACCAACACUAGCAAGAAUCAAGAAAAAAGAAUUACAAUAGAGGCCAAAGUAUCUCAAUGUGAGGCUAAAAAGAUACAGAGGAGUAAAAAAAAAGCUUUGACAGCUUAUAUUCAUCAAUUUUGGAUAAGAACUACUAUAGAGACAUCUGCAAAGAUUAGAAGCCUUGAAGAAUCAAUCUUAGCAUUAAUUGAUCAUAGCUCUAAGAUCAAUAUCUUGUCUAGAAAGGUUUAUGAGAAAGACAAGUAGUCAAUUGAAAUCAACCAUAGAUGGAUAUUAAGCAUUGCUAAUGAUAAAAGAGAUAGCUUUUAUGGAACAUGUCCAAUAGUAGACAUCAAAAUUGAUAAUGUGAAAGUAAAAAAAACUUCUUUAUGCAAAAUCAAGGAAAUUAUUCAAUCAUUUUGGAAUAGCCAUGUAUCAUUACAAUAAAGAUGGAGACCAAGUAAUUAGAUGAUGGCUCACAUUAUACUAGGAUUUGUUGCCAUGAUGACAAUAGAUUAAUUGAGUUUGUCAUAGUAAAGCCAAAUCAUAAGAAUCAUAGAAAUCAACGUAGAGAAAUUACCAUGGACUAUGAGCAUGAUGAUUUUUUGGAUUUUCAAACUAUACACAUGGAGCAUGGAAUGCCACAAGUGCAAAGAAAUCAUUUAUUAUAGUAUAUCUCAAUGUAUAAAGGAAAGAUUAUAAGGUUUGGAGUUUAAUAGAAGAUAGAUUUGUAAGUUUUUAAAAAGUUAAAGAUUUGGAUUUUAUGUAUAGAUGAUUAAUUUAAAAAAUAAAGUAAAAAUUAAAAAUAAUCAAUGUGAUUUUGAGUAAUAAAUUUAUUUUUGGAAUUUUUGAAGAAGAAGAAUUUUUAAAAGAUAUUUUAUAAGUUUUAGAGAUUUUGUAAGAAAAAGAUAUUGUAUCUAUUAAUAUGAUGGUGGAAAUUCAUUCAAGAGGAUUGUAUGAAGAGAUAUUAAAAAUAGCUAUUGAUACUAGGUUAAUUGAGAAUUAUGGCUUAGAGAUUGAAGCAAUGAUGAAUAUUAAGUAUAAUUCCAUGACAAAGAAGGUGAAGCUAGUGGCAACAAUACUAAUACCAGAUUCCAAAGAUCAUAUCAAGAAGGUUGAAAAAGAGGCUAGAUUGAGGCAAACAAGAAAGAUUGGAUAUAAUUUUAUAGACGAGAUAUUAGCCAAGCUAAAGAUUGGAGGAGGUGAAUUUUUGAAAGAACUUGAAAAGAUAAGAUUCCAAAAAAUGAUCUCCAAGCAUAGUAAGGCUUUUCUUUCUUUAUUAUAUGAAUUUGGAUGUGUUGAUCCAAAGGUUGUUGUACCAAUGGUCAUUUUUACUAUUCUACAUGUAUCUUAGAAUUUGAAGCUAAUUUUUGUGCCAAAAAGCCUUGAUACCUAAGUUGGUAAGUUUAUUAAAAGAAAAGAUGCAAAUGAAAAUAUUUGAAUCAUUUAUAGCUCCAUAUUUCAAUUAAUGGUUCAUAGUUCUAAAGAAAUGUGGAGCUUUGAAGUUCAUUGAAGAUAUGUAGCUAACCAAUAAGGUGACAAUUAGAAACAAGGAAUGGAGACCAAUUGUGGAUGAAGUUACUAGGGAUUUUGCAAGACAUGCCAUCUAUUCUAUUAGAGACAUUUAUUUUGAUUAUAACUAGUUUCAACUUACAUCAAAAAAUAGAGAUCAAAUAACUACAAAGAUUCUAUUGGGACUUAUGAAGAUGUGCACUUUGCUUCAAGGUACUACUAACCCAGUAGCUCAUAUGUAGAAUAACAUAAACCAAUGUUAAGGAAUUUUGUGCUUAAAAAUACUAUUCAUUUUGUGGAUGAUAUACUUAUCAAAGACUACAAAGAAGAAGCUAAAAACUUCACAUAGGGUUCUGAUGGAUGCAAAAGAUUUGUAAAAGAUCACAUUGAAGAUGUGGAAAAGUUUUUGAAGAAGCUUAAAGAGGUGGGUCUAAUCUUAUCUAUUGACAAGUCCAAGUUUGAAAUUAAUGAGAUUGUGGUGGUUGGACGCUUGUGUAGGAGGUAUGGCAGAAAAUCUAAUUUUUAAAAGGUUAAUACUAUUGUUAGGAUGAAAGCAUGUAGUAGCAUCAAUGAAAUAAGGAGGUUUUUAGGAACUUAUAUCUUCUAUCAGAUUUGGAUUCUUCACUUUAUUCACAUAGUUAAGCCAUUAUAUAAUUUCUUAUAAAAAAAGAGAUUAUAUUUAGAUAGAAGCAAAAAUAAAAAUCAAUCAUUGAUAGUCUAAAGGAGAUUUUGAAGUCACUACCAAUCUUGAAGCUAGUUGAUUAUGACUGUGGCAGACCAGUUGUUGUUACUGUUGAUACAAGUCCUAUUACUAUUAAAUAGACUAUUGGUCAAGAUGAUGUAGAAGGUAAGAGAUUUGCCAUUAGAUUUGGAGCCAAAAUUUUCACAAAUAGAUAAAGAAUAUAUCGUCAAGUAAAAAAGGAGCUUUUGGAAGCACUUACAAUUAUGAAAGUAGACAUAAAUUACUUGAUUGGAGCCAAUAUAGUGCUAGAAAUUCAUUGUUUAUUAUUAUUAGGUCUAAUUGCCAAUUGUUUUAUUCUUGAUAUUGCCAUACUAAGGUGAAUAGCUUACAUCAGAUCAUUUAUUAUUCUAUUGGUGUACAUUUUAGAAAAGAAGAAUUUUUUGGUAGUUAUGCUAUUUAGAACCAAAUAUAUUUAUAAGAAGAGAUGGAGAUACAAGAGAUUGGUGAAGAUGAUAAAGAUGAAGACUAUGGCUAUAAAUUAGCUACUAAUAGAAUAAGCACAAGUGGUAAAGAUGUGGCUUUUAGAAAAGACCUUUAUAGAGGCAAGUUAAGAAACAUUGGCAUCUAUUUUAAUACCAUGAAGAGACAAGAAAGCUAGUCAGACAAGGCCUUUAAAGACAUCAAACAUCAAUCUUAUGACUAUAUUUUAAAAGAUAAAUUUCUUAUAGAAGAGAACAAAGACGAAGGAUGGUAUACUAUUAAGAGUGGUAGAUGAUGUAGAAAUUAAAAAUCAAGUUCUCAAGAAGUUUCAUAAUACACUUUAAACAUAUCAUGAAUCACAUAAUUGACUUACUAGUUGUUUUAAUACAAAAUGACACUUAUAUUACUAUGAGUCACUAUUUUAAUGAGUUAAUAUGAGAAUUUUGAAAAAAAUAGAAAAAAAAAUAUAAUAAAAAUAUAAUAAAACAUUAGUUGGAAGAAUGGAUCUUUGAUAGAAUUGACUUUGAUAAGGGAUUUUAAACUAUAUAUCCAUUUUUUAGAUUAGCCAAUAGAAAAUUAAAUUUUUUAAUAGUAGUCUUGUGUCCAUCAAAUAUUUAAUGAAGCUAGAAUUUAUAUGGAAUACUUGAUAAAAAAAAAUCCAAAAAGGAAAAAUAAGGUAAAAGAAAAAAAAGAAAAACAACCUUGGUAGCUUUAGAAAAUUAAAUAAGAAAAAAAAUAAUAGAUUAGAAAAUAAUAAUAAUAAUAAAUAUAUAUAUAUCAAAAGAGUAGAAGAAGAAUAGAGAAGAAAAGAAGAAGAAGAAGAAGAAGAAGAAAAAAAAAAAAAAAAAAAAAAAAAACAGAAUAAAGUAAAAGAUGGAUGAGUGCUAGAGGCUGCUCCCAAAUUCCGGCACUCUUUGCUGAUAGAGAUCCGGGCCGCCCCGGAUCCUCUCUCUCUCUCGUUUUGGUUUGUUUUUCCCUCGUCUUCACAAGCUCUAGGCGCUUAUAACUGGUUUUUGUCUCCUUCACCUGGUGGGGGUGCUGCUGAGGAGCUUCGCAAUUUUUGAAAGUUGCAGUUGGAAGUUUUCUUCUGUUUUUUGUUUCCUCCUUUUCUGUGUGGUUGCACUGUAACAAGGAAGAAACAAUUUUCUUGGGGUGACUAGAACCGCAAAAGUUCUUCUUCUAUAUUGGAGCUUGCGCUCGUGGGGGGUGCUAUAGAGCUUGGAUCCUGGUCUGACAUUAGGCAGCUCAAUGGGGUUCCUCUUAUUUGCUUACGGUCUCAAUGGCGAUGGUAGGUGAUUCUACAUUGUGGUGCUAAGAGAUGAAGGUUCUUGUUCUGCUUCCUCAAGCGAUUCUUAGUGGAGUGUCACUGGUGUUGCGUUUAAUGUUCAAUCAUUGCGGAGGCUUUGAUUUUUGGAAGAUGUGCUCCUUCAGCUAGUGCGUGCUUCUCAUGGUGUUGUUACUGGAGUCAAACUGCAGAUAUUGUUGCUAUUUUCUCUAGUUUUGUUGUGCAUAGCUAUGAUAUUAUUUCGGGCUGUUUUGUUUUGGGCUGCGGUUGAUGCCUUCUCCGAUGACCUUGAACUUGCGGUGAUGUUGCUGUUGAGAGCUAAUACACUUUGUCACAAAAUCCACCGAAGUUCUUCUUUUCCUUGGUGAUUGUUACUAUUGCAAAUGUGGCGGUGUGGUGUCCUACUUCUCUAUGGGUUGCUUAUUGCUUAAUACAUAGGAUAUCACUUGGCUGGUGGCGCUGUUAUUGAUAGAUUUGCGGUGGCAUCAAAAGUAUUUUUUUCCUUCUCCUUCCUUGUCGUGGACUGGUUGCGACUGGCGAGGAUAGUUCCUUCUCUUCUAGUGCUUCUUUGCCGUACAAAUUUUUUGCGGUGCCUCAUUCCAGUGCGGGAGCAUUCCAGUGCCGAAAUUGCAGGUGACGACCAUCUGCAGAAGACAUUCAACUGGCGAUUAGCGUAGAAGUCUUGAGUUAAUACGACAGAGAGUCGACAGUGCCUACUAUUAAGAGAAGCUGGGCAAGCCGCAAAAGCGAGAGCGGAGGAGUUAACUCGGUAUAAUUCUUGAUGUUUGACAACAUCAAGUGAGUAAAAAGUACACAAUCUAAAUGAGCUUUACGGCAUCAGAACUAGUGAUUAAGCCGUUGUGCGCAAUAGUAUAGCUCUUUUAAAUCAGUGCUUGUGUUGCCAUUAAACCACUUAACCUGUUCCUUAUCGAACGUGCUAAAUUAGUACGUCCAAGUAUAUACUGCAUAUCUAGUUGUUCUUUGGAGGAUUUACACUUUAUAAUUGAUAAGAUCUGAACCCCGGUUAGUUAUUAAAAUCUAAGCACUAGACAUCAAGACUAAGCGUAAACACGGUGGAAGGCCUUUAAAAAUAGUUCAAAGCUGCAACUACAAUUGUGAAUUCAAGGGCUGCAUAUGAAUUAGAAUCAAAAGUUGCAACUGGUUCUAUUGCGAUUGGCCAUACGUCAAGUCAUCUACCUUCUGGCCGUUGUUACGUAGUGGAGGUGGUCAUCGACUUGUGUGAAUCUGAAGUACAGGAAGAGAGCAAAAGAAGCAGUCGGUGGCUCUCUCAACAACCAGAGAGGCAGGAAACAAGGAAAACAAAGACUGUCCCUUGAUUUCCCUCAAUUCCAGGCCAAAAUGCAAAGUUAAGCAACCUGGAGAUGGAGACAACUUAUCAAAUUCAUAUCACUGAGGUUUUAGUGAAUAAAAUCAUAUUGCAUGGCUUUAAAUCAAACUUGGAUGAGGCUAGGGUUUGAAUAAAUGAUAAAUUGUGGAUGAAAAUUGAUUGAAUUUGGAUGAUUUUUCAUUUACAGAUGAAAAAUUAUUAUAGAUGAAAGUUAAAAUUUGGAUGAAUUUUUAUUAGAAAAUAAAAUAAAAUAAAAUAAUUUCCUAUUAAAUAUGUGUGGCUUUGUAUUAUCAUGUGGCUUAUAUGGUGUUUGUAAUUAUUUAAGUGUGAAUUUAAUUUAUUAAGAGGUUGAUUUUUCUUAACAAAAAAUAAGAAGAAGUUUUUACGUAAUCACUUAUAAGUUAGUUAGUAGUUGUGAAUUAGAUGAAAUUACCUAUAAGAAUGGUUUAUUUUAUUUCAUAAUUAAAAUGUUACUAAAUUCUUUAGAUACUAAAUCAAAUAUUAAUUAAUAAUUAUUAGAAUAUUUAGAUAAUAAAAUUAUUGUAAAUUAAAAUAGACUUCCAUCUUAUGGAAGUUUAUUUUGGUUUAUAUAGGCCACAGAGGAAUUUGAAUCACCUACUAUAAGAUCAAAGAACGAUAUUGAUAAAAAGGCCUCUACAAAGAUGUGGAGAAAUUUUUGGCUUUUUACUUUGAAUGCCAAUUGCAAUCUAAAGUCAGAUUUAGAGAUGAGAUGCAUUCUACCUAUCCACUUGCUAUGCAUUUUCAGUGGGUGAUUGAUUGGGUGGCUAUGCCAUUGGAAUUAUGGUGCAUGAAAUAUCUUGUUUUGACAAAAGAGAAGAGUUUUCAAACUAUAUUGAAGAGAGAGCUUUAAAGAUGAAGAUCAUGGAAAGAAUAUGUAGAUUUAUUUUUGAAGAUAUCUUUAGCAAAUAUGAUAGCAACAAAAAGAUGAAGGUUAAUUGAGGAGAAUUGAAUACAACAAAGGCCAAAGGUUUUUUUUUUUAAAGAUAUGGUGUAAAUUUGAAGCUUACAACUGCUUAUAAUCUUAAGACUAAUAGUAAGAGUAAGAGAGGACAUUCUUCCAUCAUUUAUUCUCUUAUCAAGGCCCAUAGAGGUAAGUCAAGGUAUAGGCCAAGAACAUUUGCUUUAUCAAUAGAUAGAACCACUCAUAGCAAUGUUAUUGGUUAUAUGCUUAUUGAGUUAAUGUUGAGCAAAAAGCCAAUUAUGCUUAUGGAGGAUUUUAUGCCUACUUGGAUGUUGUUGAAUUGAAAGGAUAACAUUGCAAGAGAGUGAUUAUUGGAGCUUUUGAUUCAAUAGCUUUAAAGAUUACUUGAAGAUCAAGAGAUUUCAUUAGAGAAAAUAAGGCUGCCAAGUUGAACAUCAAAGAGGUUUGAGAAAAUUCAUUGUUUGAGAUCUAAACCAAUUGAAGUUGAAAAUUGAGUGUUAAUAUUUGAUAGUAGUUUAGAGCAUUAACAUAGCAUUCUUAGGAAGUUUGCUUGAAUAUGGUUUGGACCAUAUAUGGUAGUGGUAAUGUAUAACAAUGCCACCCAUUUGCUUUGUGGGUUGGAUGGUACGAUUUUGAAGAUAUAUGUAGUUGAAAAGUAAAUCAAGGCAUUCAAGAGAAGAGAUGGAAAAAUUUAUUCCAAGUAAUCUUUCAGAUUUUGAAACAUUAAAUCUGGACCAAAUGGAAGACAAACAAGUAGAGAUGAUGAAGAGGACAAGGAUGGUUAAAUUGAAACAUGCCAAAAGAUGUACAAGUUUGGAAGAGAUUGAUGUUAUGUUGAAAAGUAGGAUAGUAUAUAAAAAUAAUGUAAAAUGUUAUGAAAGUUUAGAUAAUAAUUAAAAAUAAAAUAAAAUAUUUAUCUAAUUUAUUUAAAUUUAUAAUUUAAAUUUUAGUAAUUAAAGAUAGAGGUUGUACGAUUUAUUAGCAAGGAAUUUAGAUGGACUUUGGUGUCAAAAGUAUAAUAUUUUGACUUCUAGGCCAUCCCAUAUAGAAGGAUAAGGUAAGUGAUAGAGGAUUUCAUUCUCAUUGGUUGAAAAUCAUGUCUAAUAAGCUUUAAGAUGUUAUCUGGGAUUACAUUAGAGUUUUGGACCAUUUUAGAACAAUCCAUUCAAAGCAAGGCAAUACAUUCUAAGUUUAGAGGUUGGAUUUCAAAAGCUUGUGUUUUAAGCCAGAAUUUGGAUAAAACAAAUAUGUGAUUUGAAGUUUAGAUGAGAGAAAAAAUGAUUUUUUGAAGUUAAGGUGUAAACUUAGUAUCUAUUAUUAUUCUUUUAAGUCUAUAAAGAAUUUUAAAAAAACAUUCAAGAAUUAAAAAGUGAGAUUAGAAAGUUCACUUAAAGAGCUAUAUUUUAUGUGAAGAAAUGGAUACAUUCCAAUCUAGAAACAAAAAAGAGAGAGCUAUUGGAAGUUAGUAUUCAAAAUUGGAGUUUGUAAGUAAGUUGUUUUUUAAUAGAGGUCUUAGUUUGGACCAUAUUUUAAGUUUUUGGAUGAAUAUUUGGCUCGAAACUUCCAUAAGUGUAGAUAACUAUGUUAAGAAGUUGUAUAUGAAAAAUUCAUAGUAUUUGAAUAUUGGUUUUUUAUAUUAUAAUGGAAUUAUUGAGUGGAUGCUUAAAAAUUGACAUAUUUAGUAUCAACUAAUAAUUUGGCGAUAUUCAAAGAUUUAUAAUGAAUUUAUGGUUGAUUUUUUGUAUGGAGGUAGUCAAGGAUAUAAAUUGAGGUUGUAGAGAAUUUUAAAUCCAAUUAGAUGGUUAGAUUAAAAUUUAUUAAAUGAUAUACAUUUGAAAGGGAUUCCCAUAAAAAUAGAAGUGAUUUUUAGGAAAUCUAGUUAUAUCUUGGAAAUUUUCAUGUAUCCUAGACUUGUGUAUUUGAUGCAAUUUUCUUCUUAAAGACAAUAUAUAAAUGAUAUUUGUAUUUUCUAAACUUGCAACUUGUUUAAGUAAUUAGUAGCAACCAAAGGCUAAGCACUUUCUUGAGGCGAAAUCUCUCUACUACAACAAUAGGAGAAAAGCUAGGAAUAGAGACAAGAUUGAAAGAAUACAAUGAUGGUUUAAAUAUAUGGAAUGAUUUAAUAAAAAAUUAGAUUUUUUUAUCAUUUUUUUAUAAAUAAGUAGAAAUAAAAAUAAAUAAAUAAAUAAUUUAAAUGAUAUCUUAUAGAAAAAUAUCUUAGAAGCUUAUAGAUGCAAAUUGUCCUUUAUAUGUGUUUAUAGGUGAUUAAUAGAUUGAAAACUUGGCCAACAAGUUGGCCACAUUGUUCUCUUAUGUAAAAACUAAUUUGAAAAUGGAUUAGGCAUUUAAUUGUAGAAAGUAAAUUAUAUUUACAACAAAAAAAAUCUAAAAAUUUUAAUAAAAAUUUAAAUAAUUCUAAAUUAAGUCUUAAUAAUUAUAGUAAAAUCUUAAUCAAAUCAUAAAGAAUGUUAAAGAAAUCUAAAAUAAUCAUAAGCUAAUCUAUAAAAAAAACAUCAAAAAAAUUAUAAAGAAUAUUAAUAAGAAAUCUUAAAUUUUUUCUAAAGAAUUUAUAAAGUAAUCAUGAAGAAAUCCUUAAAAUAAAUCAUAAAUGAUUUUUAAAGAAAAUUUAAAGAAAAUCUUUAAAAAAAAUUAAAAUAUUAAAAAUAAAAAAAUUAAAGAUUUUAUUUUUUAUUAAAAAAUAAUCCUAAAAAAACUAUAAAAAAACCUUAAAGAAAUUCUAAAAUGAAUAUUAAAUAAUUUUUAAAUAAAUCCUAAAAAUAAUCUAAUCAAAUUCUAAUAAAAUCCUAAAUCCUAACAAAUUUUAAAAAGAUCCUAAUCAAAAUCCUAAAUCAAUGCUAACAAAUUCUUAUAAAAUUCUAUCCAAAAUCUAAUUAAUUCUAGAAUAAUCUUAAAAAUUUAAUAAACAUUGAUGAAAAUAUUGAUAUUAUUUAAAAUAUUACAAAAUUUUAAUUUAAUAAUUAAAAAAAACAUAAUUUAAAAAAAAUCUAAUUUAUUGAUGGAAAAUAUAAAAUGAAAUAAAAAUUUAUUAAUACUUUAGAUGUUAUUCAUCUUAUUGCUUAAAUCUUAAUAUUGAUUUAUCAAUGGCAAUAAAUUCUUAUUAAAAUAUUUAUUUUCUUCAAAAAAAUUUAAAAAUUUAUUAAAAAUUAAUUUAAAAACUUGGUCAUAAAUGUUUUUUGAAUUCAACUAGCAAAUUAUUUAAGAUCACAAAAAUCCUUAUUGAUCCUUGACAUCCAAAUUACAUGUUCCUUGGCAUCCAAAUUAAAACUUGUUGACCAAGUUUCUAACCUAUCAAUCAACUAUAAAUACAUGUAAAGUCAAAGCAACAUCUAUAAAGCUUGUCUAAUAGAUAUUAUGAAAUUAACUUAUUUUUACUUAUUUUUAUCUACUUCUAUCUAAUUAUAUAGGUAUUUAUUAGAAUACCUAUGUAUAUCCAUGAUAAUAAUACGACAACAUGGCAAUGUCUUAUAAGACCUCUAAAACAUGUUGACUUUACAAGACAUGUAUCUCAACUUAUAAGACAAGUUUUCUCUAUGUAUGCCACAUAAUUAGCUUGUUUUAUAAGCUCCCAACAUCUUAACUUGCUGACCAAGUUUCUAACCUACUAAUUAAUUACAAAUACAUGUAAAAUUAAAGUAGCAUCUAUGAAGCUUUCAAGAAGCUUUUAAAAAAUACAUUAUGAAAUAAAUCUAUUUUUACCUACUUCUAUUUAAUCAUAUAGGUAAAUAUUAGAAUAAAUAUGUAUGUCCGUGAUACUACAAUUUGUGGAACUAUAGAUUGGAUGAAUCUUGUACAAGCUUUAUUAAUGCAUGCCUAUAUCAUUAAAAACCAAUAUAAUGCUUUAAUAAAAGAGAAGAAGUGGUGAAAUUUUGAAGACAUAAGAAAAGGAAGUACUUUCAAGAAACAAACUUGAGGAGAUAAGGCUCGUGAAAAAGCUUCACAAAUAUUACUAAUAGGAAAUGCCUCAAUAGCAUUAAAAGAGAAAAUAAAAGGCAUAGGAGACAAAUGUAAGUCAAUAAGUCAUAAACUACUUUCUAAUAUUAUUUGAAGAACAUGAGCUCAAUGCUAAGGUUGAGUUUAUAUUAAAAGAGAUUUUAAAAAUUACCAAAAAAUAAUUCUAUGAUAUCAUUAUUGACAAUAUUAAGCAAAAGAGGCAAUUCAAAGGUGAAGAUAGAUUGAAUCAUAUUAUUGAUGCACAUAUAUGUAAGGAUGAAGAAGAUGACUUUGGUAAUUAUUGCAAACAAUCAAUAAGUGAGGAAAAAAGUCAAAAUCAAAGAAUAUAUUUUAAUAAUCAAAGUAAUAAGGAUAACGAGGUUUCAAGUUAUUAUACUUAAAAGUAUUGGAUUAGAGUAACUAUAGAGGCAUUAAUAAAGGUGAGAAAUAUGGACAACCAGUUGUUACUUUGAUUGACCAUGGUUUGAAGAUAAAUUUUAUGUCCAAGGAUCUUUAUGUAAAGCAAAUGUGGCUAAUUGAUAUGAAGUAUGGAUAGGUAACAUAGACAAUUAAUAAUACAUGAUGUAAGUUAUACAAUGCUUUUUUAAAUGUAAAAAUUUGAAUUGGUGAUGUUGCAAUAGAGAAAAAUUUCUUUUUUUAAGAUGCAACAUCUUAUCUUUUCAUUUUGAAGCAACCAUAAAUUAUUGCAACUCAAAUGAAAAUAAAGGUAUUUUAUGAUUGUUCAUCUUAUUUUGAAAGUAAAUUUUUCCUAUCAACUUAAAUUACAAGAUAGCCUUAAAUGAGAGUUGCUUCUAAUUAGUAGUAUAAGUAAAAGUAGCAAAAAUAAGAUUAAAAGAAGCACAACACAAAACAAGUGAAAUAAGUACUAUUCACUAUAUAUUCUAAUUUUAAGUACUUUUAAUGCAUCUUUUCAUUCUAAAACAACUAAUGAAUUGAUUUGAUGAUUCACACUUAUAUACAAAUUUAUAGUAAAGAUAGAAGAAUGAUAGUAAAAUUUUUGGUUAUGCUUUUAUAUCAUGAGCAAAAUCAAAAAAAUUGAGAGAAAAUCCAUUACAAAGGGUUGUUGAAGAAUUCAAGGAUUUUUGGAAAAAUACCACUAUUAAGUAAGAUUAUAAAGGUACAAAAAGGGAGGUACUUUUAUAAGAUGUAGGUACCUUUGAUGCAAUAUUUAUUGUCAUUUUUAAGAAUGGAAAUAUUAUAUAUAAGAAGAUUGAGGAUUUAAAAAAAAUGAUUAUAUACUAUUAAAAAAGAAUUAUGUAGGUUAAUAAUAUUAGAAGAUAUUGAAAAGAUUAUUAGUGUUAAGAGAAAGAAUAUGGAUUGAAAAAUCUUUUGAAGUUGAUUGCAUAUAUUAAAUUAGGUGACAUUGAUAAAAUUGUACAAAUUUACUUGAGAGAAGUUUAUGAUAUGAUUGAAUCUUUUAAGCAUCAAAGAUUAUAGUUGAAAUAAAAUAUAAGAAAAUGGAUAAGAAGGUGAAACUCAUUAUUAGACCUUUGCCAAAAGAUUUUAAAGAAUAGAUAGAAGAAGCAUAAAAAAUAAAGAACUUAAGGGAUCCAAAGAAUAUUAGACAUAAGUUCACUAAAGAGACUUUUAAAGAAUUGAAGAUUAAUUUUGAUGGUUCUUUAUUGCUAAAAAAAAUUGCAUACUUCAAAGAAAUAUUGGCAAAAUUAGAUAAAUUAUUUGCCUUUGAAUCUCAUGAAAUUCGGUAUCUGAACAAAAAUAUUGUAAUACUAUAGUUAUUUUUAUUAUACCAUAUGUACCUUGAAAUUUGAAGCCAAUUCUAGUGCCAAAGGCAUAUUUAUCAAGCUUGAUGGAAUUAUUGAAAGAAAAGAUGAAGAUAAAGAUUUUAAAGCCUUUUUUUUGCACCAUAUUCUAAUCAAUGGUUCAUAGUGCCUAAAAAAAAUAAUUCAUUAUAGUUUAUUCAAGAUAUGUAGUUAGUGAUUGCGGCGGCUAUCAAGAACAUAGGAAUUGAAUUGAUGGUGGAUGAAUUUGCUAAAGCAUUUGUACAAAGAGCAAUCUAUUCAAUGGAUGAUUUGUCUUCAUGCUAUGACCAAUUUUAACUUACAAAAGAGAAUAGAGAUGCGACAACAAUGAGAACAUUACUUGGGUUAGUUAGAAUAUGUACUCUUCUUUAAGGUAUUACUAACUCACUUGUGCAUAUGAUGAAUAAAAUGAAUAAGAUAUUGAGAGAUUUUAUUAUUUAGAAAAUUAUGGUUUUUUAAAUAAUGUUUCUAUUAAAGAAUGCAAAAAAAAUAAAUAAAUAAAACUUUAGAAAGGAUGUCACAAGUAUAUUAUUAAUUAUAUAUAAGAUUGUAAAAAAAUAUUGGCUCAGCUUGACAAAGUUUAUCUUACAUUAUUAGAUGCAAAAUCUACUUUAUGUAUUAUGGACUGAUCAAACCACAUAUAAUUUAGUGAUAGGACAUAUGUAAGUGCAACUCAUGACAAGUCAAAAAUCUAUUAUGCCAAUUGAAGAAGACGUGCCAAUUUAAAGUAUGUUACUUUAAGAAGAUGGAUUGACAAAAGAAGAGUUGUUGCUAUUAGAAUUUGGCAACUAGAACAAAUAUCAAAAGAUGUAGAGCUAGCAUUGAAAAGAUUAAAAAAAGCUAGGCUAAAAAAUAAGGCUCGAUUUGAUAAACAACAUUGAUUGAAAUCUAGAGCAAUUGAAAAGAUGAUUGGAUACUUUUUUAUGAUAAUAAUUUGGAUAAUCAACAUAGUAGUUUGUGGAAGUUUUUAAAAUAUUGAUUUGGGCCAUAUAUAGUGGUGACAAUCCAUGAUAAUAUCACAUAUUCAUUAAAAGAAUUGGAUGAUAUAAGAUUAAAGAUAUUUGUUGCUAAGAAGCAAGUGAAGAUUUUUAAAAGACAAAAUAGAGAAAUCAAUGUAGAAGAUCAUACUAAAGAUAUCAAUAUUUUUUGAAGAAGAUAAUUAUAUUAAAAUAGAUGAUGAAAAUAAUAAUGAAGGAUUUGAUGUAAAAAAUGAAGAAAUAGUGUGAUGCCAAUUAUGACAUAUGGUUCAUUUAGCACAUAUUAGAAGAAGAAGAUAUUCAAAAGAGGUGAAUGUAUCGAGGAUAUGAAUCUCAAAAAAGAGAAUCAUGGAUACACUCUUGUAUCAGUGAAGAGAACUAAAAAGUCACUCAAAAGGUAAUGUAAUAUUAACUAAAAUAGCUAUUGCCAAAAACUAGAAAACUAGAAAGUCUUGAAACAAGACUAAGGACUAAAAAGGCAUUGAGAAGAGUGAAGAAGGCUUCACUCUUGCCUCCAUAUAUACUCUUAACUAGGAGCUACAUAGCAAUGUCUUAUAGGACCUUUAAAACACGUUGACUUUGCUAGCCACAUGUCUUAACUUACAAGACAAGUUAUUAUGUAUGUGCCACAUGGAUAGCUUGUUCUACAAGCUAAUAUACAGAGUGAACUUGUUCCAUAAGCUACCAACACAUGGUUAACUUGUUGGCCAAGUUUCCAACCUAUAAACAUAUCUAAAGUCAAAACCGCAUCUAUGAAGCUUCUAGGAAGCUUGACUAAAAGACUUUAUAAAAUUAAUCUAUAUUUACCUACUUCUAUCUAAUCAUAUAAGUAAUUGUAUAUGUCCGUGAUAGAAUAUUAUAUUAUAAUAUAACUAUAUGAUAAAAACAUAAUCAAAAAUAAAUUUCUAAUUAAUAUCUAAUUAAUUUGAUUCAAUAAUAAUUCAAGUUAUUUAAAUAUGGCUUUUAUAAAAGUCUCUUAUUUUAUUUUCUUAUCUUAAUAGCUAGUAGAUUAAAGAUUGGUUAGUUAUUUAACUUUUAGGCUAUAGAAAUUCUUUUAUUGCCUUAAAAAGACCAUAAAUUGGUAAAAAUAGAAUAAAAGAGAUAAAUAAUUAGUAUGAAUGAUACUAAGAUUAACUUGAGGAUAUAAUCGAGCUAAAAAAAUCCUAUGAUAGUUUAAAUUGAUAUCCAUGGAUCAUCUAUUUGUGAGAUAAGAUUAAAAUCAAACCUCUAGCAAUUUAAAAUAGUUGCAUAGGGCAAAGUAUGGAGAUAUUUGGAGAUCAAUAAUUAAGAUUAGAGAGCUAGCUUCAAGCUUCUUUUCAUAAAGUUUGAAAUGACUUUGUAAUUAUUAUUCAAAUUUAAGGUUUGUAUUGGAGACUUUACAUUUAUGGAAUACAAUUAGGGCUAAUACUUUCAAUUAGUUCUAAAAAAAAAUCUUUCAUUCAUUUGCAAGUAUUCAAAGAAAAAUUCAUCUAUAUUUGUUAAAUGAUUAAGCUACAAUUAUUUUUCAACAAUAGGAACUAAUAAAUUGUAUUACAAAACUUAUAAAGUAAUAAAUAUUAUCAUUUCAUAUAUUAAAAUGUAGUUUUCAAUAUUUACGCCUAUAUGAUAAAUAUUUUCUAAUUUUCCUAUUUAUUUAUUUAUUUAUUUUUAUACCAUAUUACAUUAUUUCAUAUAAUAUUUGUUUCCAUGGUGGCUUGCUUCAUGUGCCCCUUCAGUAAGUGAACCCUAAUUACCUUACAAGAGUCUGGGCAACUCUUUUUGUCAUAGAUAAUGAGCAUUGUGCCACCAUUUGCAUUUCUUCAAGGUAAUGAAUCUUCCUUCUACCCCCUACUCAAUCCUCCACUAACCAUGUUUUUCAAAAGAAAAUAAAUGUUGCUAUAAUAAAUGUGUACAAACAUGUAAAAAACAAAACAAACAAACAAACAAAACAAAACGAAGAACCAAAAAAAUUACCAGUCAUGCUUGCUUUCUUUAUAUGUUAUCAAAUCAUAGACAUUUUUAAUUUGAUUAAAUUACUGGCUUAGAUAAUGUGUGUUUGACAGUAAAAGGUCCUUACACAUUGUAUAUGUAAUUUCUUUGUUGUUGUUGUUAUUGUUUUUUUUAAAUUAUCAGUUGUACACAUGUGGUCAGAUGCCCCAAAUGAUAAAAUUCUCGUUUGUGAUUUUAAAUUGAUUAUCUAAAUACCUGAUUAUAUUUAACUAUGUGGGAAUUUAUUUUUCACAGAUGUAAAGACAUAUUAGGUUUUUUUCUUUUUCUUUUUCUUUUUUAAAGUGCAGCAUCUCUAAUACUGACUAGAAUAAUACAUGUGAUUCAUCAGUAAAGAAUAAGCAGAAGUUGUGCAUUUUGUGCUUUUUUCCACAAGAAGAAUCUUAUAUUAUCAAUCAAAGAUAAGAUUUCACAAAAUAUUGGAUUUUAGGGACAAUAAUGUUGUGUACUAGAUGGAUGGUCAAUUGGUUUUGUAUUACUAGACUACACUGAUGAGCAUGCAUGUUGACAACUACAAACUUCUCCAUAUUCAAAUAAAGAGUUAGACAAAAUAUGGUGGGCCUAAAAACUAUUAAUAUCACUUCAUGAAGAUCAUAAUUAAUUUAACAAUAUGAUGUGCAUACUUUAAAAAAUAAAAUGUUAAGCACACAUAUCUAAACAAAAAACUUCCUAGUUAAUAUCAAAAUAUUGAAUUGUUACUUAGUAGAAUAUUAGUGUGAAUGCUAAAUAAAAUUAAAAUGUUAAAAAGAAAAUUGUUAACAUGUAAAAUAUUCUUAAAUGCAAAUACUUCUGGAAAAAUAAAAAUAAAAACGAAAAAAUCAAAUCAAAUCAAAUCAAAUAUCGAAAAAAAUUAAUGAUUAAAACAUGUGUACUCAUUGUUUAUUCUGAAAUGGUAAUGCUACAAGGUAUAAUUUAAAUAUAAAUAAUUGUAGUCAGAUUGUGAAGUAUCAAAGUGUGGAUCUUGUCUGAUAUUUUUGCAAUAAUUCUGGUUUUUUUAAAGUUGAAAAAUAAUUUUAUAAAGCAUUAAGUCAGGGAGUUUAGAGUAAAUUAAUCCAACAUAUCUGGAUUUGAUUUUUCCAAUACAUUAAACAUACAAUAUUGUAAAAGAGAUUCUAUUCAACUUCUAGCAUAUGUAACAAAUACUUUUUGUUUUUGUUUAUGUUUUUUGUAAAACAAUGAAUGGGAUUUUGAUACAUUGAUUUUAUCAAAUACAUACAAAUACAAAAAAUAACACACAUACAUUAAACUGAAAAAAAAUAGAAAAUCAGUCUUUUACAAACAGAGCUCAAAGUGACUACCAUCACAUGCACAUGAAUGUUUUAAAAAAGUAUGAUUUUAAAGAAACCAAAUCAUUCUUAUAGGUAAAAAAAAAAACAAUAAAGGCACAUUUAAGAAAGAAAGGAAGAUGGGAGUUAGAUUGAAAAAGUCACAUUUUACUUUCAUGUACGAUAGUAGUAAUAAAUUCACCCAACAAUCACCACAGUAUAAUGGAAGCAAGAAGUAGAAAAAGUCCUGAAGCAAGGACAAGUGUGAACGCGCCUUGAGGGGAGCAGAAAAAGUCCUGAAGCAAGGGCAAGUGUGAACGUGCCUAGAGGGGAGAAGAAAAAGUCCUGAAGCAAGGGCUAGUGUGAAUGCGUCUGUACGGGAGAAGGGACUCCGCCCAUACAUAACAAGCCCGUCUUGUAAUUAGAAUAAUAAUAAGAAUAAUAAUAUUAGACCUAUACUGGCUCCUUCUCCCGUCGUCGUCGUCGGCUGCUGUGCCUGUGUGUGUGUGUGUGUGUGUGUCUGUCUGUCUCUGUGUGUGUUGCUUGCUUGUCUUCGGCGUCAAUAAACGCGCGAGAGCGAGCUCCUCAGCAACUUCAACGUCCAGCGCCUUGUAACUUGAACCUAAUCCCUCUCAUUCAUGCUAUGGACGAGUGCCUGAAGCUCCUCCAGGGCACCAACGACGAGCAGCGUCUGGUAGGUCUCCUGCUGGCCACCAAAAUCGUCAAGGGCAACGACCUCCACGACGUGCGCCGCGUUUUCGACGCCAUCGGCUUCCCUUUCCUCAAUCGCUUGCUUCGAACUGGUGAGUGGCCUUCCGUGACUCUCUCUCGCUCUCUUUCUUCUGGAAUGCUGUUUUGUUUAACCUCUCGCAUGUUGUGGCCAGGGCAAACCACUCCCCGUGUUACUCGGGCUCGUUUUUUUAUUGCAAUUGGGUGCUGCUGCUGAUUUUGGCUCCGUUUCUUAAUCCUUGAUAUUGACCUCGAUCAGUGGAUUAAGAGGGUGACUUCGCUUGGUUAAAGAUCGAUGCCGCAUGAGUGUGUGCUUUUGCCUUGUCUGACAAACCUGUUUGCGGCCUCUUAGUCUUGGUUGAGUGCAGCUGUAGCCGGAUUCGUAGGAGAAUAGAGUUCUUUGGUGACAUUUUACUCGUGAAUUUACAUCAGGAGUUUUGUUUGUCAACUGAUGUAGCUUUAUCUGUAGCGGAAAAUGCUUGCAUGUUUUUUGGUUAGAGUCUCGAUCCCCUAGGGCGUAUUCUUAUUCAUGUUAGAACCCUUAAGUGCUCCUGUCUAACGAAAUUUGUGCGUGAUUUUAGGGUUUAUGGGAUGAAUUCUAGUCAUUUCCCUUGCGUCUUGAGCUACAUUGUCCCGUCUUUUUUCUCUGUUGGACGCUUUAACCUGAGAGCCCUUUGUAUAGGGUUAGUAGGAUUGUAGAAGGUCAUGCCAUUUGUAAUUAUCAUUACAAUUCGUAGUGCAACUUCACUUUGAGGACUGCCUUGCUGCCGUUUCAGGCCUUAGGUUCUCAUAUGCGAUGUAUUUAUUUAUUUUCUUUGCGAUUCUUCCUGUGAAUUGCACAAUUGGAGGGGUAUCUUUGGUACGCUGGAGCUCGGUUGCGUAUCUUGUUAUCUGUUACUCUUUAUGUUGGUUCACCGAAUUAUCACUGAUUUUGGUUUUCCGAAUAACUUCUUCCAUUGCCCGCCCACAUUCUGCUAUUUAAGAAUCUUGCGCUAAAUCAUGGAAUGAUCAUCUAGCUUUAUAAUUAUUCAAUUGAGAUCCAUUCUUGCAUAAAAGCAAACUGAGUGUUACCAGCUGGUACGUGGUAUGUGGUAUGCUGGUGUUGCUUUGAUUUAGACGCAUGUUACUGACGAGGUUUCGAUUAUUCUCCUAUUUUAUCACGCGAGGCAUCAGUGCAGAUGCAGCCGCUGUAGAGAUAUCAACAGGGAUUCGUUGACAGGCGUGUAUGACAAUAUUCGAGCUCAAUGAGUAUUGCAGGAGGGUGGUGAUAUAGAUAUGUGAAUGAAUAAUGGCUCAAACCGUAAGGUUUGGCAUCCAGCUAGUGUUUAUAUUUGUGCGGUGGCUGAUGUGGUCGAGCUCGCGAUGUUCCUGGUGAUUUUGAUCUGUCUCACCUUAUGUUGGAUGAAUUUAAUGCUUCUGUGGCAGGUACAGGGCAGGCAAGAGCAUCUGGUGGAGGGGAAGCAGUCGGACGCAAUGACAAAGAGCAGCAGCGGGCUUAUUUGCACUUGGCUCUCUCUAUUAUUUCUGCAUUUUGUCGUUUGCCGGAGUUUGCAGCGAUGGAUGAGACCAUCUGUAAAGUUCCCAUUCUUGUUGAAACUUUAUCAAGCAAGUAUAAUUUGCCUCCCUCUUUUUCCAUCGUCAUUACUUCUCUCUGCGUUUCUUCCAUGCUGAAAACUUUAUGUGAAGAAUUUAUGUUAUCUCCAUUUUAGGUCUUUUGUCAGGCAGGUGAAACUCAUCCGAAUGUGAUAAGAAGUGAUUAUGUCUUAACCUGUAAUUAGUUUUUUUGUAUUUUCUUAGUAUGUUUGUAAUCAACACUAUAUUUUUCGACAUUUUUUUUUUUUCAAUACUCAUGAUUUCUUAUUGCUUUUGUGUAUACUAAUUGUCAAUGUUAAGAGUGCGACCCUUGGUCAUGUUGGAGCUUGCAAGCGUCUUAAUAACCAAGUUUUUGUGGUUUCUUUGAUUUUUGUUGUUUACAAGGUUGACUUUAUUAUCAUCUGUGUCUUAACCAUCCUCAACAAUAUCUAUAAUAACGCAUAUCUUGAUAGAUAGUCUACCUGUUCAAUUUUUUUGGUUCCUGCGAUGUUGAAGUUUGUAUAUUAUGCUCAGGGAGGAUGAAGUCGCCGUUGGGGAUGCUUUGGAAUGCUUGCUAGCCAUAGGUGCAGGAUCAGACGCGGGACGAGAAUCUCUUCUGCAGAAGAACGUCUUAACUACAGUCGUACAUCGAUUGAACAUGGCAUCGCCAAGUACUAUAUCUUCAUCUUUUGACUGCUGUACCCUUCUGUUUUAUGGACGUCCAGCUAAUUUGAUUCUCGCUUCUCUUUAGUUGUUGCUUAUUCUCUGGCAUCUCCUCCUCUUCAUGUUAGUCAAGCUCUACUUCCUGUAGUGUUCAAGGAUCAUUUCUUUUUAUUGUAUAUCAUGAUUAGAACGUAUCAUACAGGCUCUGUUUUUUUGCGAAUACAGAUGCAAAUUGGACACCUCUAGCAGUCAGGUUAAUAUUGUUUAUGUUUACUACAACGGGAGUUAUACAGGAGGCCAUGAUGUGCUCACAAGAACUGGCAACUAUGGUAAGAGGCAUUUCUUCUUGCUCUGUUGCAAUUUAGAUGAUAAUUUGGGCCACAUCGUCUUAUGGAUGUUCUUAUUAUACUGAUUCUGGAAAAGAUAUUUGUUUGGCUUUUCCAAAGGUCAGUUCUUCAGCUAUUACAGUGUAUAUGUGGUAUAUCUUUAGUUAUUAUUCUAAAUGUUUUUGUGGCUUGUUUGUCAGGUUCCCAUUGUAGCAAGACAGUUAGUUUUUCAGCAGGGUGUUUUCAAGUUUGAAGCACUGUCUCUUCUUCACUAUUUGCUUGCAUCAGAAUACUCGGUAAUUGUUUGCUUGAUCGUUUGUGGGUCUAAGAAUUCUGUCUAAUUAAGCACCGUAUUUAGGGAAGUUUUACAAGAAGACUCUAUUCUUUGUUGCAGCAUUUAUACAUGUGCUGUUGACUUCGAGUGUCUUUCCUUUUGAUUUCGUAUUUAUACUUCGUCUUGAUUGAGUUGCAGGCACCUAUUCGACUUGCUAUUCAGAACGCUUCUCUAAGUUCUGAUUGGCAUGCUAAUGUACGUUCCGGACUUGGAGUUAUUUUAAACAAUCGCGUGGGUAGGCUAAAGCUCUUCACUCUCUUCAUUGCUUGGACAGUCUUUGCCUCAUUGUUCCUUUCUAGGUUUCUGUACCUGCCUUCUUGUUCGUUGUUGCACACGUGGUGAAUUUUGAAAGGUUUGAAGUGAGUUUUUUCUUUGGCAUUAUCGUAGCUAUGCGUUUCUGUUCAUUUAUUAUGAACUUUUUGUAUGGUUUAAAUAUUGCAGAUUCCGUCAUGAGCUUUAAUUGUGUUGAAGUCCUGAGUUCCUUGCUUAAAUCCAGAUUAUCAAAUUGGAAAGUCGAGACAAAAUAGGUCGUGAAUAGAGCACGUGUUUAUGUUUUUCCUGCUUCAGCUCUUUCUUCAGCUAUUAUUAGAAUUUCAGUCAUUUUAUAUCUUCUGAUGUUUGCUGCCAUAUGGUGGGAACAGUGGCAGAAAAGAGACAAUUGGCAUUGGAAGUCAUAGAGGCUAUUGUAGAAAUUAUUGGAGAGCCUUGGCUUUUGGGGCCAAUGGUUGUUCCUGAAGAUCAGAAGCCUGUUCCAUUAGACAGGUGAUUCCAGUUUUUUCCUGUGUGUUUCCGGAUGUCUUAACGUUCAGAUCACACUAAUAGAAACUUCAAGUUAUUUUGCCCUUCAAGAUUGUAUGCCGUAGUCUCUUUUCAUAAUGCAUUACUUUUCCAAGGUUUAAUAUUAUUUGAUUGGAGUAGUUUUCUUUGGUGGUUUGGUUUAGGAAAUCGUUUUUCUGGAUCUUUAUCUAGGUUGACAACAAUGAAAUAGCUUUUGGUUUUCUAACCGUUCUUAUUUUUCCGCUAAGAAAAUCUAGUUUUCAAAAUCAGGUUCUUUAUGCUGGUGGUAGAGACUCUGAGGAUUGAGACUGCAGUACUCUUAAAUGAAGUUGCAAGGAAAAUGUUUGGUUCUGGAGGUCAAACUACUCAAGUGGCUGAGUCUGCUGGGAAGCAGCAAGGGCUGGCAACUUAUCUCGCACUCCUGGAGCACAUCGUCAAUGUUGUAGUUGAACAACAAGGUGAAUCUACUAUUGUCUAUUUGGUUUAGCGCAAAAGUGUUUAUGCAAUGUAUCAUUAUAGUUGAUUAGGCUUUAUCCAUUGCCCCUUAUAUCAUUUUUGAGGGUUUACUGAUAUUCAUGUUCAGAUGCAUCAGGGAGGUUGAAGGAGUCUACGCUAGAAUUUGCGUUUGCUGCAUUAACCGAGGUUAUAGGUUUGAUUCUUGAGUUUCUUGAGGAUGCCCAGGUUCGCUAUUCAAACUGUGCCCUUUACUUUCGUUAAUAAAACAUAACCUUUUUUUAUUAUUAUUUUUGGUUUUCUCCUUGAUUUUGUGUUGUUUUGUUGUAUUGUUGUCUCUGCAUAAUUACUUCUUUGAAUCGGAAUAUUUCACUCUUAUAAACAAUGCUUGAUGCAAAAGUUUAGAGAGAAAUAAGUCGAGUUGAUAGAGGCAGACACAUCUUCUUCAUCAAAUUCUCUUGUAAUUAUACAUUUCCGUUUCUUGAAAUGGAAGUCGUACCUCACUUGUUUACUUUGGGUUUGCACAGGAUAAUGAUGUUACAUGUGGAGACUUGCUCUUAGGUGUUGUUCGAUUGUUGGGAAGGUUAGUGAUGCGUAUCUUAAUUUUUUUGAAGUUAUAUAGCCUCGAGUAUGUCUUGAAGCAAAAACAUUGACUAACAAUUAAAUGUUAUUUAAACAUCAUGACCGUAAAGUUUUUCAUGUUGUCUGGGUAGAGUAUCUGAAUUUAUGAGGUCAUGAGUUGCCUGGUGGUAAUUUUGAGCUUCUACUCGGUUUAUCUUGCCACCAUUAGUUCUUCUAUCACAUUUAUUGUGUCUUUGUAUUGGGCGCUUCCAGGUACUUGGCGGAAAAUCCCAUUGCUCACCGACAUUCUGUAUCCAAGCUACUCGCAUUCCUGCUCACUGUUACUAGAGAGGGACAAGAUGGGUAUGUUCACAUCAAGAUUUUCGCUUACAAUCAUCGGGUGGUUUGAAGUCAUUGUUCUGCUAGCUAAUUGUUGAAAUUGGAUCACUGUUGUGUAUCCUCAAUUGUGUUGGUUUCAUAGAAAAUCACCUUAUUGUUAUUUUUGCUUCGUACAUAAAUUAUUCGACUCAAGCAUGGUGUCCUUGUGUUAUAUGGAGCAAGGUCACUUAUAUAUUUUGUUGUUCAGCCGCACAUGAAAUAUUUUUCUGACUGUUACGAAAACGAGGUAGUUGAAGAAGCAUGUUGCAAACAUACUCCAUAGCGUCUUUCAUCGUAAUUGCAACGAAUGUUUCAGCAUUAUUUGUCUUAGUAUUCACAUACUGCACGACGCCCAAAUUUGUGUGCUUAUUUUCUCUGUUGCACGAUCUGUUGUCAUUCCGGUGGAAAUGUAUGAAUCAAACUCCAAUUAUCUUUCUACCAAUCUGAUUGGAUAGCCAAUCGGAGUACUCUCAUUAUUUAAUUUUAAAUGUGCUGAUUAAUGUGCAGGUCUUAUGAAGCCGUCUGCUUCAUGCUACCUGCAUUAUCCCAGAUUACCACAGAGCUUGAUGGUUGCAAAGCUUUGGUUUUUUGUGGAGGUCAUAAGCAGGUCAGUUCCAUGCUUGCAACCAAUUUCACUUUUUCUUUCAUUCUUCCGGCGCAACUCUUACCCUUGGUGCUCAUUUGUGCGAAGAUUAUAUUGUCAUUGACUCUAGGCUGCAAAAUCUUAGCCUUUGGUAGAAUAUGGUUCCAGAACUGGCAGCUUUAUAAUCUUGCAAUGAAUCUUUACUGUUAUUGAUGUUUGUAAGGAUACAAUGCGCAACAUAGUUUGCAAUACUAUUUCAUCUUCUCACGAUUGAAUUAUUUCUGCUGCAGAUUGUUCAAUUUGUGCGUGUAGCAACAGAAACAGGCGGGUUAGAUUCGCGUGCUCCAAUAAUCGAUGCUUGUGACACACUUUUGAACCUCCUUAUUAAGGUAGGGCAACUAGUUGCGUCGUUUCCGGUGGAUGUAGCCGCGCUGUUUCUGCCUCGUAUUUGCAUGACUAGUUUCAAAUUUCUUUUUGGAUAUAUGCACUAAAAGAAUAUUUAAACUUGCUUUGAAUUGUAGGGUCGGAUAUAUCUUGUGCUGAAUUGCAAAUUAUUUCUUCGUUUUUAUGAUUUUUGAUGCAAGUAUCUAUGUGUAUGGAGUGGUCUGCAGCAAAAGGAUGGUUUAGGGAGUGCUAUCAAAGUUGCGGACUUCAUUCCUGCAUUGCCAUCUCUAGCCAACUGGGCAGGUUUGUUCUUUCUCGGUCUGUUGCCUCACUCUUGCAUUAUAUGAAUCACACUGUGCUUUGUCAUUUGUCGUUCUAUUUGAUUUUGCAUUCUGCACAUAUUAUAUUCGCUUUAAAAUGGUUUAGGAUGGCUGCCCAUUUCUUCAACCACCACUUCGCAAGUGUCCUUUUUGAUCUAUAACGUAUGAUUGCAAGAAAUUGUAUUGAGUUGUACCAUGUGCACUUGAUUGUAUUUUUUCAAUCAUUGAUAUUUUUUUGAAGAACGAAUGUGUCGUCUCUAAAGAAAAAAUUAUGGCUGCCCUGGUUCAGUGCAAGGAAAGCAGGUGAUGGAGUGUGCGUUGGCGGCAAGUCUAUGCACUAUGGUUCUUGGGCUGACUAACGAAGAAGCUCUUUCACAAUACCCCGGGUUUGGUCCUGUUGGUCUGCAUACUGUUUUUAAAUUGAUAUUGAUGAAUCUGGAACGAUGCCAAAGGGUGAGAAUUUGAUCUUAUGUUUUUUUGUAAACAAAAUUUAAACUAGAUCUGAAACUAUUUAAUAUACGUUCCAGAGCAACUGCAGCGUAUCGAGUGUUUUUGGUAAUUGCGACUCUUAAUAUCAACUUUUACCAACUUACAACCAUGUUUUGAUGCAGGCAGAGAGGUUAGAGGAACCGGCCGAAGAGGAAGAUUUAUGGGAUAUUAUUGUUACAGGUACGUCAAUUAAAUACAAUACUUCCAAUCCACAGCUACAAGAUGAAAGUCCUAGUUCCUUUUAGUAUUCUCUCGAAUGAUUCGGUUCUUAUCUGUAUGGAUGCAGGAUGUUCACAAUAUAUGCAACGUUACCCAUCUUUCAAAAAUAUGAUCAAAGAUUCAGCUUGGCUACAACGCUUUUUGGGGAAACGGUAAUUCUCAUACCAUAGUGAUCUCUCUUUUAUUCGUUUGCAAGUGGAGGUUUUGGAAUUGAUACACAGUUUGAUCAUUACACCAUCAUAUUUCAGGUAUGUUAGGAAGCUGAAAACAGGUUGCACCUUAGCUGCCUUUUGUUACAACCUUGGGCUCAUGAAGCGAAUUUUUACUAUCAGAAAUGAAUUCAUGAGUCCUGAGCUUUAAGUGUACUUCGCUUGUUCCUUUGACAGACCUAUGACUGCAACAAUGGAGGAGGUGACAAGAAACCCUUCGCUACAGUUGUUGCUAACGAGCAUAUAUACCUCUUGAAAAUUCUUUCGAGACGGUAGGCGUCACAGCAUCGCGAAUGCAACGAGGGAGCUGACUCUUUUGUUCAGUUUAUGCUCAGUACGUUUUGUCUACAAUUUAAACAGACACUGGAUAAAUAUGUUGCUGUAUACAUAAGCGUUCAGAUUUUUUCUUUUCUUUAUUUAGGGUUGUAAAGAAAGCUGCAGCAGUAUCAUUGGCCUUCAUAACCUUUAUGAUGGCAGACCCGCAUGUUUAAAUCACACGAAUAUAGAUAUAGUUGAGAGUUCCUUUUUCUCGGACGUUACAGGGUAAUGUUGCAAACACAAACUGCUUGUUUUUUGGUCAAAACGUGCUUCAGCACUUGGUGCACUUGCUUCGGUGGCGUUCAAGCGUAUGAUACUGCAUAACAAUAUGAGUUACUGCAGACAAGCCGUAUGCAUAUAAAAUUCACUUCUGUUAUGAUUCACGGAGAAAUUGUUCUCUAUUGAAGAUUGUUCACAUCUUUGUUAAUGUUAAAUAGCAUCUACUAAGUUUUAUUUGAUUAGUCUCUGUGCGUGAGUGAUACUUUCAAGAUCAAAGGAAUACUACGGUCGAUUUCGUCAAAAUCUUAGGUUGCAAGUGCUUGUUAUUACUCAAUUGACCUUAAAAAAAGGGACUCAAUUAUUGUUAUGACCAAUUCAACUUUUUAAAAAUAAACUACCAUUCUUGAAAAUACUAACAAAUAGUUUGCAAAGAGUUGUAUUUGACACUUAAAAUCACCUACAAGUAUAUGAAUUUUUUUAAAGAAAAGAAAAUUAUUCUCAGAAAUGCAUGUAGAUAAUUAUAGACUAAUUUUUUUUAUAUUUUAUUCCUAAAACUUGUAUAUUUUACUAUUAAAAUAAAGUUCAAAUCAAUUCUAAGCUAGAUUUGGAGAGAAUAUAAUUUAAAAAGUUACAUAUUUAUAAUUUGAUGUAUCAAAUCAAUUAAUGACUACAACGCAAACUAACUAUGCCUAUUUUAAACACAAUGUCAUGCUUUUUGCAUACAUAAAUGUAGUUAUUUCUUUCUAACAUUUUAUAUGUAAUAUAUUUUGUGAAUUCAAAUAUAUAUGUUUUUUAGUCAAUAUUCUUAUCUAUUUCAAACACAUCAAAAAAAAAUAUGUAUAUGUAUGUAUAUAUAUAUAUAUAUAUAUAUAAAUUGUAUUACAAGAGCUUAGUAAUACACAAUCUUGUGUAGCUACAGAAACAUUCAAUUAUGCACUUAUAGUUGUUUUUAUCUAAAUAUAAAAUCUGAUAGUAAGUAAAUACUGAAAGUUCUUGUGCCAUGUGGUUUUGAGAAUAUUUCAAGUUGUGGUUUUAAUUUUUUUAUAUUAUUUCAUUUCCAACUCUUAAAAAUAACUUUUAUCAAUUAGAUCCAUACCUUGUUAAUAGGAAUGCAUAUAUAUAUAUAUAUAUAUAUAGUUUUUAUUUUCAUAUUAAGAUUAGAAUAAUAUUAUGUAUAAAAUAUCUAUAAUAAUUUAUACUUUUCUUUCAAUUUAUAUAUAUAUAUAUUUUAUAAUCCUAAUAAAUCUUGAAUAUUCAAAUGUAAUUGUUAACAAAAUUAUAUUUAAUUAUGUCACAAAUAAUAAACUAAAAUAAAAUAAAGAAAAUAGUCAUUAAAACUUGAUUUGAUGUGAUAUUGAUUUUUUCAUAUAUAGUGAAAGUAAAAUCAGAAAUGCACCAACAUACAUAUAUACAAUAACAUCUCAUUGUCAAAAUUCCUCCUCAUAUUAAUAGCUAAAAUGAAUCUUACUCAUUUGUAUAUUUACAAACUAAUUUAAUUCAAUGUGCAACUUGUGUAUAACAAAUCAAACAAUUCUUCACAUAGUUGUUAACUCAAAUAAUGGUCAUACAUAGAAUAGACACAUAAUUAAUAAUAUCAAAAUGAUUUCAACCAUUUACAAAAUUUUACUUUUUUGGACCUACAGGAAAUUCCACGUGACAUUAGUAGAAUAUAUCAUUUAAGGUAGCAAUUGAGCUCAACCAAUGACUUCAGCAAAGUUCAUCAAAUUUAAGCACUCAAUAACAUGAAAAAUCAUCUUAUCUGCUUGUAUUCGAAUGAUAGAUUUCAUCUGACAUUCGUGAUGUGUUUUGACAUCAGGUGAUUAAAACCACCAAUUCAGACAUGUGUUUAACUUGUUGCAGUUAUAGUUUAUUCCGAUUCGAUCAAAGCAGAUUCCGACUAAUCUCAAUAUAAAACAGGAUACUGAGUGGAAACAGCAACAUAUUCCAAGGAUCUCACAAUUCACGUGGGAUCCUGAUAAAUAUCAGAGCACUGUAGACUAUUUCAAAAAGAUGCUUAAUUCAUCAACGCAUGUCUACUUUCAUGAUCUUACGUUACAGUGUAGGCAACUGAUCCAACAAUGUAUAUGUAUUACUAGUUUUUCCUGCAGCGAUGUUUACUAGUCAAGUCGUCUCAUGUAAUUAUUUUUAUUCAAUCUAAAUUCUCAGUGUUAAUAAUUGAUAGGCUUGCAUACUUCUUGUAAAGCACUUGGCCUUGAAAUUCGGCUUGUUGAAGGAUUGGACUUGAAAGAACUUGGUGAAGACCAACCUCCAUGCUCAUUGAGAGCUGUCCUUCUCCAAUCUAGUUGCAAUGGAGCUUAGUCCCCAAUGCACAUCAGAUGGAGCUUAGAAUCAGGCUGGUAGCACGGAUUAGCAACUUCCAGUGCACUUUAGUAUUCACAACUUGUCUUGGCUCUGAUCUAUCAUGAUGACUGCCUUCUGACCACCAUGUAGAUGGAUCAUGGGCCCUAGAAUAAUAGAGGAAGUGGAACUAUGUCCUACUCUCCUCUACAUCAUUUAGUUGGCUCUACUUCCACUAAAGGAGUGUUUCACUAGCACUACAACUACUAAUACAACCACACUCAAGCUAGGCCUAACAACAUUAUCUGAAUUGACCUUUGAAGAUUAUAAAUCCAUAGAAAUCACAAUGGAUGCCUUUACUAUGUCUAAAUUUCUCCAUGUUGUCAAGUAAUCUACUAUUUGUAGAAACCACUUAGACUAGUUCAAAACCACCGUCGUAUUCCUUCAUUAGAUUAUUUCAAAUUGCAAAUAAAUAUUCUAGUAUUAAGUAGGUAAGAAAAAUGUAUACUAGAAUGAAAAAGAGAUAAUAGUAUCAGAGGAGGGAUAAUGCCUUUCUAUUCUCAUAUCAAGUGGAACUUUUCCAUUGCUAACACUAAUAAUACCAAUUGAUGAUCACCACCCACUAUAAGAAGAAUAAUUACAAAUUCUGAGGAUAACACAAGAUCUAGACAAUGCUAUUAAUUUGCCAUUGCAACCGUUGAGGUGUGGUAAUACAACUAUAUAGUAAAAAAUAUAAAUAUGGAUGUUAUUUUAGAAGAAACUACUAGAUAGAUGUAAUAGAAAAAUAAAGAUAAAUAAUAGAAAGGUAGUAAAAGAUUUAGUCUUAAUACCGCCUUUUAUAGAAGAGAUUUAUAAAUGUGAAUGCAAAUUUUGAGAUAAAUUAAUUAGUUAGAUUAAAGUAUAUGAGAGUUUUUGUAGAUUGAGAUCUCAAAAACUUAAGUUUAAAGGUCAGUGAAUAUUUCUAAGAUCUUUAGUAAUUUGUCAAUUAGAUUGAAGUGAUUUUAUUUUAUUUUAUGGAUACUAGUCUUGAUUUCCAAUAUUUGGAUAAAUUUUGAGAGCUAUUCAAUAAUUCAAAACUUUUCAUCUUUCUUGUGCUUGUUAUCUAUGCAUUUCUUUCAAUUUUGAGAGUAAUUCAAUAAUUCACCAACAUAAGGGCAUAAUUGAGAAUAUUAGAGAUCUUCAAUUAAUAUACAAAAGCAAGAAGAAUCUAAUGCUGCAUCCCAAUAAUUUGACAAGAAUAACUAGAGAAAAAAUAAGGCCACCAUGAUGUAGAAGACUGCCUUAGACUACCUUCAUUGGUUGUUAGAAGAAAAAAACAACCUCUUUGCAGAAUGAAGUAAUAAUGAACAUGCAAUAAUCCUUGUAAUUCUUCAAUCAAUAGGAUUUAGCCUAAUACCACAUCCACCAAUAAAUAAAAUCAAUAACAAAAAAAAUAAAAAUAUAUAUAUAUAUAUAUAUAUAUAUAUAUAUGUGUGUGUGUGUAUGAUUUUACAUAUUCUUUAAAGAUAUGUCAAUUAGAUGCCUUCCAAGUUACCUUCUAAAUUGAGAUUUUCUACUAGAAUUUCUACACAUAACUAAAAUUUAUCUACUAAUUCUAUUUUAUUUUUAUUUAGCAUCUUCUAUACUCAUCUUCAAUUAAUGAUUUCUAAUUAACACUAUUUUUGCAUUCUUUUUUUCUAAAACAACUCAUGAGUUGAUUUGAUAACUUACAACAAGCAUACUUGUUAUUAUAAAUUUCAACAAGUUUGUAGCUAAUGACUCUUGACAAUGAACCUAGACAUUAGUUUUCUUUGAGGCACUAAGCUUAUUAGGUUGUCAAAAGAUUACAUGAUAAUCUUUUAAUUGGAUAUAAAUAGCUUUGCUUCUGUAGCCUUCAAGAUCUUUAAGAUUAAAGACAAAAAAAUUAUAAUAUGAGGGAAUAAAAGCCCAUAUACUUUAUGCUUUGGCAUCAAUAAGGUGUGGUCUUAACUCCAAUGGCUAAUCAUUUAAUUUUAUGGUCUCUUUUUUUAUCAAUGAAGCACCAUUGCAUGCAAAUAUGGCUUUUAAUUACUAAUUUAUUAAAAAAAUAACUCAUAUUCUUCUAACAUCCUCACUUGUAGUUAAAUAAAGGACUUUAUCACCAUAAUGUUUGCAUAAAUUGGCAAUAUUGAUAGAACAUGGAGUGUCUUAAAAAAAAAAUCCCUUCAAAGAAUCUGUUGAAUAUUUAUUUUUCCUAAUUUUUUGCCAAAGUAACAAAGAUACAUUAAACUUAUAGCUUAUUACUUGCAUGCCAAUUUAUGCAAAAAAAUGACUCAAACUUCUUCAACCUUAGUAAGUUUAAGACCCAUUUCCUCUUAAUUAUUGUUCUUUGACUUUAAAGUACCAACAUAGUCAUGAAAAUACUUCUAAAUAGUAAAGCAUAUGCCAAAAAUCUAUACGAAAGUAUUAAAGUCCAUAGCUUAGCCUAGGAAAAAAAUAAUGUCUCUUAAUGAUAUCAGAAGCAAUUGUAGUACCAAUUAAGAAGUCCAUAGCAUGCUUUUUUUUAUUAACAUUAUGUUCUUCAUGCAUUUGAAAAUUAACAUCUCAAACCAUACUAGGUCUACAUGUUCAAAAUACAAAUGAUAUUGGAAAUAUUAUGAAGGUAAGAAAUGCACAAUGACGACCCUCUACCUUAUUAACUAAGAUAAGAAGAGGUUCACCAAUCUUAGUGACAACCAAAGAAAUUGAAUUAGCAUCCAAGAUAUCAUCAAUAUGGUGUUUAAGAGGUCGUUUAACUCUAGAAAGUAUUUUAUAAGCACGUGAGAUAAAGCUAAGUUAGUCCAAAUUAACCAAAAUCAAUAGAUAUAGAAGUCCAAAGCCAUAGCAUCCUCAAAGGUUGAAAGACCAAGGAGUUAGUUAAUUUUUUGAUCAAACUCCAAUAUUUAUAUUUGACUGUAAUUUAAUAAAAGUACAUUUUCAAAAAUGUAUUCAAGUGGUAUAAUUUGAUGCAUAAACUAAUAUUUUAUAAAUUACAUCAAAUCUCUUAAUAAAUUGGAUUAAAGGUCAUUCAACCCUUGACCUGCUCUAAUACUUGAAUGAUCUUGACAAUGCCAUGCAAUAAUUAAUAAGUCAAUUUUGCCUAAUUUCUUCAAAUUUUUAUUAUUAAUGAAGCUAACAUCUUAAAGAAAUUAGAUAAAAUAAACAAAAAUAAUAAAAAUUUAUAAUUGCUUAGAAUAUAAAAUCAAUAACCUUUUGUGAUAAUGUCAAAUGGCUUGAUUAGGUAUAAUUCCAAUAUCCAUACAAAUGUAUCAUCUAAUAAUAAGACCAAUUAUUAAUAAUACUAUCAAAUCUAUAUUAAUACUUACAAAGAAUUCCAUAAGGAUAAUACAUUUAUUUGGUGAAUGCCAAUGAAUAGGUUGAGCAAAGAUAGGUAAUAAAUAAGAAUUUGGUAUCUUCAAUAUAUUUAAUUGAGAUAUAAUCUCUUGAUAUUAGUAAAAAAGUUUUGCAUUUAUUUUCCUUGGUGGAAAUGGAUCCUUCUAAUGUCUUAUAUGAACUUCUAAGAUAGUAGAUUAUUUGAUUCUAUAGAAUUUGAUAUAAAUACUAAUAUUUCUUCUAAUAGAACUAAUUUACAGAAUAAGUUAGAUGCCAAUGCAUUACAAUCAAAUAAAGUUUCCAGUAACAUAAUCAUGACAUUGUCAUAUAAUAAUAUGAUUAUUAGGUGAAAAAAGAAAGAUUAUCUUUUAUAAUAGAAUAGCCUAAUAGAGGUUUUUUUAAGCUUAUCAAAAUUAAUAAUAUACUUGGCAAGUUUAGAUUUAAAAAAAUAAAAAUAAGUUUAUAAAUAUGAAUAUUUCAUGAAUUUUAUAGCAUAUUUAUAAAUAAAUAUUUGAAAAUUUAUUGUUGUGCUUUUUAUAAAUGUAUAUAAGAAAUUUGAGAUAAAUUAAGUAAUUAGAUUGAAGCAUAUAAGAAUUUUUAUAGAUUAUGGUCACAAAAAUUAGAAUUUAAAGGAUUUGUGAGGAUUUUAAAGAUAUUUGUCAAUCUAUUAGUUGGAUUGAAAUAUAAAUUUGUUCAAAGAUAGUUAGCUUGACUUUUAAGAAUUAUGAAAUUUUUUGAACCAAUUGAAUGGUGAAAUUAAGAGAUCGUAGUUUGGAAAUAUCAACAUUAAGGUUGGAGAAGGAAGCCGACCAACACCUCAGUAGAAUUUAAGAAGCAUCAUCUAUUUGGUAUGUGUGAUCUUCUUCAAACUUUUUGUUGUUAUUGAAAACUUAGUUGUUUCAAAGAUUACAAAUUUUGAGUCAAAAUCAAUGAUUCAAGCAUUAGUUAUUGAAUUUUCAACCUAUUAUAGGAUUUGUUAAGAUUUUAUUUAAGAUUUAGGAUUUGAUUAAAGAUUAAUUAGAAUUGAUUUAGGAUCUAAGAUUUGCUUAGGAUUUGAAUUAAGAUUUGUCUUGGAUUUGAUUAAGAUUUAAUUAGGAUUUAAGAUUUGUUUUGAUUUUGAUUAGGAUUUGAUUAAGAUUUGAGAUUUUAUUAGAAUUUAUUUAGGAUUUUAUUAAGAUUUAAUUAAGGUUUUAUUAGAAUUUUAUUAAGAUUUGAUUUAAGAUUUGAUUAAAAUUAAUUUAUGAUUUCAUUAGGAUUUUUUGAAGAUUAUAUUAGGAUUUGAUUAAGGUUCAAUUAAGAUUUUUAUAUUUGAUAUAUUUUUUAAAGAUUUAUUUAUUAUAUAUAUAUAUAUUUUAUUAAAAUUAAUUUAUGAUUAAUUUAUAUUUCUUUUAUAAGUUCUUGAGACUUCUUUUGAAUUUAAUUAAAUCUUAAUUAAUAUUUUUAUAAUUUAAAAUAGAAUUAUUUUAGGAUUCUAUUAGAGUUUUUAGAAUCAUCUUGUUGGAAGUUCCAUUUUUCAUUCUAUAGUUAGGUAUCUAGUGCAUUUUCAAGUAGAUUUCAUACAAUACAACAAUGGUUUUUACAAAUGUGACUAAAAUAAAUUCUUUUCUUCUAUCACUAAUAAGCCAUUUUGGUCUAAUCUAUGUUUUUUUAGUCUAAUUAUUUAGACCAAAAUCAAAUAGAUAAAGUGUUCUUUGGUCAACUAAAAUAUCAUAGUUGGUGGCACUAGUCAUUGCACACUUUAGAAGCAAGCAUAAAUAAAGUAGUCUAGAUCUAGUACAAAAUAUUAAUUACAAUCACUGCCUGAUAUAAUCAAUAGCUUGCUUCAUGCUUUCUACUAAAUUGAUAAUGGUGAAAGAACAAGUCUCCAAGUUUGUAGGAAUUUGACCUAAUUCUUGAGUAAUCUAUUUAUCAUUCAUAAUUGAUUCACUCUCAAAAUCCAUCAUAAAGUAUAAUGGUGUAACAUGAGUAGUAUUACUAUUAGUAUGACUAAUAAUAAGCACAUUAUUAUAUUAUAUGUUGUCUUAUUUGAGAAUGCAUUAGGCAUUUAGAUAUAAAAGGUGAAGUUAUGUUUUACAAGUAUCCAAGUAAUUCUAAUAGGUUUUAUCCAUAUAAGAAGAAUGUAAUUUUAAUUUUAAUUCAAAAAUACUUAAAGCUAAUAUAAAGUACUUAAAAACACUCUUCUUGGUAACCUCAAUUAUAUACAAACUUCAAUUGUCUUAUUACUUUUAUAAUUAGGUAAUUUUGAUUUCUCUUUGUGAGUCCUAAUCCUAAUCAAUGAGCUUCAAUAAGGUUUAACUUCUAAUUUGAUUGUCUACUUGGAAUAAAAUUUUGCAUAAAAAUGUCAUAAUAAAUCUUCUAUAUGUUCGUGACAAAUUCAGCUCAAUUCAACUUAUAGAUUGUAAGAAAACAUCCAAAAAAUUGCACUAAUGUCACUUGGCUACCAACUUAAAGAUCGAUGCAGAUGUUCUAGUAGCAAUUUCUCCUUCUCCAAGUAUUAAUUUCAGCUCAAAAUUAGAGUAUAGCUUGUUUUUUAAGUCUUUUAAUACUAUGCCAAAUUUCACCUUGUUUCAAUUAGUAGAUCUUUAGAUAUUAUAGAAAUCCUAGUCAACUUCAAAUUGCUAACUUCCGAUAUCUUCUUAUACCAAAAUCCAAAUAUCUUCCAAUUGCACUAUUAGAUUAAUACAAAAAAAAUUGCACACUUAAUACACUCAAUUAAACAAGUGAUGUCAAAUUUUGAAUUAUAGAUAUAAUACCAAUUACACAAACUAGCAAAAAAUACUAGCUCUAAUUGUAUUGCAUAAAUUCAAAGUCACCAAUACAAAUCUUGAUUUUGAACAACAAUUGCAAAGUCAUUCCAAAUUUCAUUAAAAUAAGCCUUAUGCUUAUAGAAUAAGCUUAAAGCUAACUUUGCAAUCUAAGUUACUGAUCUCUAUAUGCAUCUAUUCUUUACCCUAGGCAGUCGUUUUAAUGGCUAGAGGUUUGAUUUUAAUCCUAUCCUACAAAAAGUCAACCUUUAGAUAUCAAUCCAAUCUAUCUUAGGAAUAUUUUAGUCCAAUCUUAUCCUUAAUUUAAUCUUAGUAUCAAUCAUAUUAAUUAUUUAUCUCUUUUAUUCUAUUUUUAUUAAUUUAUGGCCUUUCUAAAGUAAUAUAAGAAUUUUUAUAGCCUAAAAGGUAAAAUUACUAACCAAUCUUUAACCAAUUAGCUAUUAUAAUAAAAAAAUAAAUUAAGAAGCUUUUAUAAAAGCCAUAUUUAAUUUUCUUGAAUUAUUAUUGAAUCAAGAUAAUUAGAUAUUAAUUAAAAAUUUAUUUUUGAUUAUAUUUUCAUUAUAUAGUCAUGUAUUAGAAUAUGACAAUAUUAUUGUUAUUAACUGAUUGUACAACUCUUGGACAUAAGUUUUGAUAUUUUCAAGCAUGUAUAACCACAAUGUUAGACAAAAAUGCUAUCCAUGUAGCAAAUGACACUUCACUUGAAGGAUUUAUAUUUGUAUCAUUUAAGUAACCUUUCAUUAAAUAUGGCAAUAGUUUCAUCUAUAAGCUUUGCUUACAACUUAGCAAAAUACUUCUCUAUUAAAGGCUUUGUGAUUGCUUAAGCUACCUAUAUAAAUAGAAUAUGUACUUUGCCUUUCAAAAUUUUGACAAUUUGGUUCUCAAUAAAUACAUCUCUUGACUCUAUUGCAAAUCAAGUCAAAUGAGUUUAUAUAGUAGAUAGAGUAUUUUCCUUUUCAAGUCAAAAAUCUUUAAUGUGUUGUAUUCAAUCAUGCCAAAAAACUUCCAUAUUUAUUCUUUAAGUAUCUAAUAAAUACGUGGAGAGGCUCAAAUGAUGGUGGCUUUCCUAUUAUAUACAAAGUUGUCUUCAUUGCUUAAGUCAUUCAUGACAAAAGAGAUGAAGUAUUGGCUAAAGAAGUAGCUAUUCUUUUUCCUUCAAUAUCUUCUACAAAUGUAUCAAUUUUUCUUUGGAUUAGAUCUUUUUUUUUUCUUUGUAAGUAUUAAACUUGAAAUAGACUCUCUUUAAGAGCUGAAAUAAGUUCUAUUCUUGCUUUCCAAUAAUCAUUUGCUUUCAAAAAUUCAAGUGAAUAUUCUUUAUUUCAUCUCCCAUAGAUUUAGAAUAUCUCAUGCUCGAAGUAUUGUAGUAAGAAUUCAAAGGCAUACCAUUCAUUGAAAGUGGGAGACCUUUGAUGUUUUUUUUU
RNAcentral lists this long non-coding RNA (70535 nucleotides) under Physcomitrium patens. RNAcentral's name for it is "long non-coding RNA (PPAT_LNC007531)". Lineage: Eukaryota; Viridiplantae; Streptophyta; Bryopsida; Funariales; Funariaceae. The record is from RNAcentral.